RNAcentral lists this long non-coding RNA (67084 nucleotides) under Oryza sativa (Asian cultivated rice). RNAcentral's name for it is "long non-coding RNA (OSAT_LNC001675)". The stretch from base 32557 to 32756 matches the Rfam family "MIR812 microRNA precursor family". The record is from RNAcentral. Lineage: Eukaryota; Viridiplantae; Streptophyta; Magnoliopsida; Poales; Poaceae.
CCUUCGACGAAGGCCCUGAAGAAGGCGCCCUGGUCCUCGCCGAAUUUCCUCACGGCGAGCCGGGUCCCGGCGUUGUCGGAGAAGAGCGUCUGGUCGGAGUUGAGGAAGCCGCGGAGGCGGACGAGGUCCUUGAAGUACUGGUUGUCGAAGACGAGCGGGGUGGCGUCCAUGCCUCCGGUGACGUUCUCGUCGCCGCCGCGGGGGCAGAGCGAGUCGAGCCCCGCGCGGUAGGCGGGGUCCAUGUUGGGGUCGGGCCUGCCGGAGCCGGACUGGUUGUAGAGGCGGAAGACGAUGGAGAAGCAGCGGGCCUCGCCGAUGGAGUGCGAGCCGGAGAGCGCGACGAGGUCGGUGACGGUGAGGUUGUAGCCGGCGAAGAGCUUGAUGAGGGUGGUGGCGUUGGCGCGUGGGCUCGGCAUGAUGUUGUCCGAGUCCUCCUGGCUCGCCGUCAGGCUGUCCUCGCGCCCAAGCCUCACGUCCCAGAAGGGCCCACCUGUCUGUGAUACAGACACAAGAAAGGAGGAGAGAGAGUCAAAUCAAGUCAAUAAUUUCACUGACCAGCCAAACGAACCUGGAAAUUAACAACCCAAAUCUUCCAAUGUUACAGCAUUGUGCAGACAUGGAUAUUGAUUGCAACGUAUGAUCAUUUAUUUGUAUCUACAUUUGUACAUUUGCAUGCAAAACAGCAAAUUCAACCCAAGAUCGUAAUGACAAUAAGAGCAUUAUGUGUUUUGCUUACAUCCAAAUUAGUACGGCCCACUCAUGACAGAACAGUUCAGUUACUAGUACAGUUAAGAGCCGCUGUUUACGUUAUCAAAUGUCAGAAAAUGAAAAUGCAACGGAAGGAUAAAUCAUACUCGGCUCCAUGUCAACCGCGUGAAAAGUGUAAAACUCAAAAAGAACAUGGCUAGCUAGCAAUCUAGCAUAGUGACAAAUCGGCAGCGUGACCCACUGCGAAAGCAAUGCUGCUUUGUCUCCGUCCUAGGUCCUCCUCCUCCCCUCGGCGAUGAGCCAUCAACAAGGACAAGUUUUGACAGCACCCCGACACAGUACACGAUCGCCUGCACGGAAAAGUCUAAAAAGGACUAUACAACUGCAGCUCCGGCCGUUCGGCUUCACGUACGUAGCCAUGGCCCCUAGCUCCCCCACCGUCCGGCCUUUCCCGGCUCGCUGCACGGCGGCUACGUCAAACGCGCUUGUCUUGUGCACGCCGAGGGGACGGUUCAUGCAACCUUGCCCCCGCUUGAUGUUCAGUGUGGUGGUUACAGGGAGCACGGGUACAUGCACUGUACCGUCCCUAUCAGGGGCAUAGGACUAUAGUGCACAUGAAAGGAUAAGGGAGAGGAAAACGAAAGAUGGUUUUGACAAUUCGGGUCACUGAUUCUUUCGGAGAUUUUCGUCAGUCCCUAUGAUUUUCAAACACACGCACACACGCCUUUGUUUUGGAUGAUUCCGAAUGGAAUUCAUGCGGAGUAAUCCAAAUUUCAAGUUCAUAUGAAACGGCAUGUGACACACACGUGACUACGGCCACCGUACGCACGAUGACGAGAGCGCCAACCGCCGGAUUUUACUCCCAGGCGAGGCGAUUCUCAAUCGCUCGUUGGUUCGUCAACGAGGUCAGGGCUGUGUUGUGCCACCUGGGUUGGGGGUGACCAACCAUGCAGCGAAGAGAUGAACUAACUUUUUGUUCGUUACGCAUAGGCGUUGCAUCGCACAGCGGGCAGCCAGCCAUGACAAAAAACGAUCGAGAUAUUUGGCACUUUUCUUCCUUGUCUUUUGCCUGGGGGAGGCUGGGUGCCUCCUGAGAGGAGGGAAAUGCCGGGUUGGGGAGAGGCAGAGGCGGAGCAGCGGAUUUUGCACGGAAACGCGAGGAAAAUGGAAGAGAAACGUAGUACUACUAGUACUACUACUAGAGUGGGCGUGGACGCGGCGGGGCGGGGCGGGAGGGGGUGUGUGUACGUACCAGGGCGACGGCGUCGCGGGCGGCCAUGACGAUGAUGUCGGCGCAGGAGACGACGCCAGGGCAGCGCUCCUCCAGCGCCUCCUUGAUCUCGUCGACGACGUCGAAGGAGCGGAGCGAGUUGAUGUUGGAGAGCGCCUCCUUCUCCCCCGCCAUCGUCGGCGUUGCGUCCAUCAGCACCGACCCGUCGCACCCCUGCUCGAACACGACGAACCAAAUCACGGCAGAUCGCCCGAUCAGAUGGAGAGAAAAACCAAACAAAAACAAAACACACACACACACACACACAGAAACCCACGAAGAGUGACCGCGAGAGGGCAGAUCGGUUCGCGGCACGGCGGAGGAGGAGAAACGGAAGAAUUCGAAUCGCAUCACCGAUACGAGGACGUACGUUGACGAAGCAGUCGUGGAACUGGAGGCGCAUGACGGACGCGACGCUGCGGGCCUCGUGCGCGCGUGCCCGGGCCAUGGUGUCGCGGACGACGGCCUCGGCGUCGGGGCACGUCUCGGCGUAGUACCCGACCCUGAGGUCCCUCACGGCCGCCUCCGCGCCACCACCGCAGGAGAGGACGAGCGCGACGACGACGACCGCGAGGACCGUGGCCGCAGCGAAGCCGCCGCCGCGUCGGAGGAGGAGGAGCGCCAUGGCGAGGAGGAGGAGGAAGCACCGAAACAGACACGCACACGCGCAGGUGGGGGAUUGUUGCUGCUGCCUGCCUGCCCUGCCUCCGCUUCCGCCUGCGGGUCUGUCUGUCUCUGCUCGAUCUCCUCUGCUGUGCUCUGCUCUGUACUACUAGCGCCCGGGCGGGGUGGUGGGUAGUUAUAGAAAAGGGGAGGUACGUGUCGGGUCGGGACGGGGAGAGGAGUCGAGACUCGAGACGGGAGGGUGGGAGACACACGGGCCGCGCGGUGCAGGGGAACCCAGCCGGCCAGUGGUGCACUGCACGGACGGACGGGAGGACGCGAGGUGGUUUGGCUGUUGUACAGGGUAGAGUACGGCCGGGCGCGGCGCAGGCUGGCAUGCGGGUGCGGCGUUGGUGAAUGGUGCUGACCGUAGCGUACUAGCGCGUGCGUCAAAAAUAUCAGCACGGGUGCAUCCGGUGAUAGGGAGUAGGGAAGGAGGGGGGCAUUGACUUGGGGCGCGUUCUAAGCAGCUACUUCACGUUUCACAAUGUAAAUCAUUCUAGCAUUUUUCAUAUUUAUAUUGAUGUUAUGUCUAGAUUCAUUAACAUUAAUAUGAAUGUGGAAAAUGAUAAAAUGACUUACAUUAUAAAACGGAAGGAGUACUAGCCUUGGCUAUCUCUUUGUUUUUAGGGAGAGCGUUUUCAAACCGUUAAAUGGUGCGUUUUUUAUGAAAACUUUAUAUUACUUUUUUUGAAAAAGUAUGGUGCCGUUAAUUUUUCGUACAAUGUUUGAUCAUUCGUCUUAUUAAAAAAUUUUAGUAUAAAUAUGUAAAAAUGUGAGUUAAAUUAUAUUUUAUUUAAUGAUAAAACAUGUCACAACAAAAUAUAUGAUAUAUAUGUUUUGAUUGGACAAAUGAUCAAACGCUACACGAAAAGUUAACGGCGUUAGACAUUUUAAAAUAGAAUGAGUAUAUAUAGAAGAUAUUUAAAAAAAUCAAAUAAAUCUAAUUUUAGGGUUUUAUUAAUUAAUAAUCCCUCCAUCUAUUUUUCACAGUCAUAUUUCUAAAUCUAAAAAAAUUAUUUUUGAUAGACAUAUUUCAAUCCAACAACCUAUCAUCUUAAUGAUUUUCUCGAAUUUAAUGCGUUAAUCUCCAUUCUUCCACACAAAACUGCCUACAUGGGCAUCGAGAAAUGUAAAUAUUAAUGAAUCGCUUGUUACGAGGAAUGACUAGUAACAUGUUUAAAUGGAUGAUAAGUAGACUUAUUUAUCCUUGGUCUGUGUGUCAAGAUGAAAUAUAACUAUCAAAAGUAGAUGGAAUGAGUAUUUAAUUAGUUAUAUGUUAAUCAUGUUUAUUUAUUUUACGUGUAGUUAAUAAGCUAAAAACAUAAUCAAAAGGACCUUUUAGCUAUGGGACACUGAUUGUGUAGUGUGUGAUGACCGCGAGUUGAGUGUGAUUGACGAUGGUGUGUGUGGUGUGGAUUUUGAUUUUUGUUCAUGUUGACCCAGGAACCGGGAUGGAAUCAUGGGAACAUGGGGAGCAAAUGGAGAGCAGCGGUGUAAAAAACGAUGGUGACUUGGGGUCUUUUUCCGGUUGGAAAAAGAAGGCGUAGUAUUUUAGUGCCAUUCUUUAUUAGGAAAAAUAAAGGCACAAAUAUUUAAUGAUAUAUAAGAAUAAAAGAUAGAAGUAGCUAAAAGUAGAUAAACAUAAUAAAUAAGAAUAAAUACAUAAUCAAUGGUGAGACUCUUCCACACUAGGUCAAAGAUAAAGAUAGUUGCAUAGGCUUUGGCACAGCUAUACAACAGAGUAAGAUUUACCUUAUCGUAAGAGGCCGAGUCAAGUCUUCUCGUGUAUAUAUCGUGCAUAAUGACUAAUAAAUUUUAUCAAAGUUUUUAUAAAAAAUUGUACAUAUACUUCUAAUAGUAUUGUUUGUAAUGUCUCAUAUUCACAUUUAUAAUAUACACGUAGCAUAAAAAAAUUCUGUCAGAUUUAUAACCUUUAAAACUGUCAAAUUUUUAUUCUUUUGCGGCUAAAACAUAACAAAUAUGAGGUUAAAACUUUACACAUAAGUGUAAUACUAUUGAAAGUACAUGUAAAUUUUUUUCAAUGAUUUUUGGUAAACUUUGUUAGCUAGUGCGCACGAUGUGUAAAAAAGCCUGUGUACACAUAAUAUGUUCUCGGGUUACCACACCCUAGCAGUAAGAGCGGUUAUCAAGCAGUAACCUUGGUAUUACGGUAAACCGUGAAAAGCACACAAAAUUUAUGAAAAAAAAUCUAAUUAUUUUAAUAAUUCGUUUGAGUUUGAUGGGGUUACCAUGUGUUUUCUAUUACUACUAGAUGGGUACCCCGCGUGUUGUUGUGGGAGAAUUGUGUGAUAAUAUAGUAUAUAUGAGUUCUAAAAUUUUCUUUCUUACCUACUAUACUAUUUUUUUGUGUGCAUGUUUAUAUAUUUUUGUAACUUUAUCAAUUAUCCAAAGGUUAUAAAUGAUUAGGUUGUAUGGUGUGCCUUUAGGAGGAAGAUGUGCAAUUUACACUCUUGCUAAAUCAUCAAAAGACUAAAAACAAUUAAGGUGAUAUGAAGAGAUAUAUUUUACACUCUUGAUGAAUCAUCCAAAUGCUAAAACCAAUUACACAAUUUCUUUAGUAACCCAUAGAAUUGUCUGCCAUGCAUGGGAGGGUAGAUAAACAUACUAAUAAAAAAAACCUUGUUGUCACCUCUAUCUCUCCAAGUGGUGUAGUAGCACUAGGCCUACUAUAGUGUACAACAACAGUAGAAAAUACCCCACGUCUUAGCUGUGGGAUUUGUUAAAUUUAGCAUUGUGUAAAGAUUGAAAUUUAAAAUUAUCGGAUGAAAAUGUUGCUUCAAGGUUUUUUUUUUCAAAGCAUCAUUUCAUUGAAGAAAAAUAUAGGAAAUGAAUAUGUACUAAUAUAAAAUCAAAAUAUUACGUGCUUGUUUAACCUAGAUACUGCAAUUUGAUUGUACUGCAUCGAUCUCCCAUUUAGUUCGUAUUCCUCAUCACGAGUUGUUACUACAUAUAUAAGUAUUAAAAGGUAGGGAGGAGAGAGUCAACAAAUGUUGAUAAGUAACUCCUUGAUCUAACUAUUGGUAAUUUUAUACUAACAUGAUCAAACACUUGGGAUUACUUAUAUUGUGUAUCUAGUUAAAAGUGGAGAGGAGGGGAUAGAGAUGACUAAUAUAAACCGAUAAGUAACCCAUUCUAAUGGUUGAUAAUUUUAUAUUAACAUAACCAAAUGGAUUAGGAUAAGAGAGAACUAAUGAAUGCGAAUAAGUAACUCUUGGAUCCAACAGUCAAUAAUUUCAUAUUAACAUAAUUAAAUGGAUUAGGACUACUAAUUAUGUGUAUCUAGUUAAAGGUGGAGAGAGAAGGGCUAGAGAUGACCAAUGAAUAAGAUAAGUAACUCCUUAUCUAACUGUUCAUAAUUUUAUACUAGCAUAGUCAAAUGGAUUAGGACUACUCAUUAUGUGUAUCUAGUUAAAGGUGGAGAGGAGGGACAUAGAUGACUAAUGAAAGCAGAUAAGUAACUCUUUAUCCAAUGAUAGAUAAUUUUAUACUAGCAUAAUCAAAUAGGUUAGGAUUUGAUCGAACGUUUGACAAUUUUAUACUAACAUAAUUAAAUGGAUUAGGAUUACUCAUUAUGUGUAUCUAGUUAAAGGGGAAUAGGAGGGGUAGAGAUGACUAAUGAAUGCGGAUAAAUAACCACUUAAUCUAACGGUUGAUAAUGUUAUACUAACACAAUCAAAUGUCUUAGCAUAAGAGAGGAUUAAUAAAUAAGAACAAGAAACUCAUUGAUCCAAUGGUUGGUAAUUUUAUACUAACUUGAACAAAUGAGUUAAGAUAACUCAUGAUGUGUAUCUAAUUAAAUGUGAAGAGAAGUGGUAGAGAUGACUAGUAAUGAACAUGGAUAAGCAACUUCUUAUCCAAUAGUCAUGAUACGUAAAUUCGUAUAAUAGAUUGAAUAAAUCUUGUCAACCUGAUUUUAUACAUGCUAUUAUUAUUGAUAGUAUAAAUACUAUAAUUUUAAUCAUACAAUAAAUAUGUUGGCUAUGUUCCAGAGUUAUAGCCAAAUAAGGAUUCUAUGAUCUAUUAGUUACGACUUACUAAAUAUCCAUUUUAAAUUUUAAAAUAAAUUAAUAAAACAAUAACUGAGAGUCCAACUUAGGUGCAACUUUUUUUUAAACCGGCAACAAACGUGCCAAUUUCAUUGGAAAAAGUAGGAGUAAAAAGUUACUUGUACAAUUAAGAAAAAACUGUACAAGAAGUAAAUACAAUACUUGCUGCUUUAAGUUUUCUUUUUUAACGUUUGACCAUUCGUCUUAUUUACAAGACUAUGAAAUUAUUAUUUAUUUUUUAUUGUAACUUACUUUAUUAUCAAAAGUACUUUCGGUAUGACUUAUUUUUUUUAUAUUUGCACUAAUCUUUUAAAUAAGACGAAAGUAUAAUAUCAAAAUGACAUCUAAUUUGGGACGGAUGUAGUAAAAUACUAUGGCAGCAUAAGUAAGAGGUGCUUUGCGCCUGUUGCAACACAAGUUCUGGCCUCUUCGAUCUUUGCUCUGAAAGAUGAUGCGAUAUAAAGCUUUUUGUGCUGGAAAACUCUAGGUGCAGCUUGAUUUAUUGAUUCUAAUUUUUUGAAAAAAAAAUCAACGGAAGGAUCCACGAUAUUGAUCAUGUUUUAUUCAGUUCAGAGACAAAGUAAAAGUUAAAGAGUUCAUGUUAUUUUCGACUGUAUAUUUUUAACAAUAAUUUUCAAUAGAUCUAGAAUCAUAUAUCCACCUAACUAAUAGUCAACUGCUAGAUAUAUUUUAACAUGGGAAUUUUCUUAUAAAAAGGUUUCCAAUUUAUAUAGGUUUAACAACAGCAUGGGAAAAAACUCAAUUAACAUAUAUUCAAGUCUUAGUAUUUUUCAACAAGACAAUUAGGCUGUGUUCGCUAUAACAAGUUCCCAUCCGGAACAGUGAUCACGGAAAACGGAGCAAUCCAUUAGCGCGUGAUUAAUUAAGUAUUUGCUAUUUUUUUCAAAAAUGGAUUAAUUUGAUUUUUAAGCAACUUUCGUAUAAAAACUUUUUUGCAAAAAAACACACCGUUUAACACUUUGAAAAACGUGCGCGUAGAAAACGAGAGAGAGGGGUUGGGAAAAGGCGCAUCCGAACACAGCCUUAGUAUGGUUUUGAAACGGAUCAGAAUACUUACAAGGUAUGAUAAUGGGACUAAUGAAUUCAUCAACUAUCCUUUUCUUUUGUAAGAAAACUCCUAAACAAUCAAGUCGGCUACUUACUCCAUUUUAGAUUAUAAGUCGUUUUGACUUUAGUUAAAAAUCAAACUACUUUAAGUAUAAUCAAAUUUAUAGACAAAUAUAAUAAUGUUUAUAACACCAAAUUAGUUUCAUUAAAUCGCUAAUUGAAUAUAUUUUAUAAUAUAUUUUUCUUGGGUUAAAAAUGCUACUAGUUUUUUCAACAAAUUUGGUUGAAUUUCAAACAAUUUAACUUUGACCAAAGUCAAAAAAACUUAUAAUUUAAAAUGGGGAGUAUUAAAUUAAUAAAAAGUUAGCUACACGUACGUGUAUAUCAAACACAAAUUUCAUUUCAAACUUUUUUAUGGUCGUUGUUCACAAAUGUAGUACUAGAUCAUUUCAUAUCACAAUAUAAAUUAAUAAUUAAUCACAAUGGAGUCGGCGUUUUAGUCAUGCUUUCCUAAUGUUUUUGCCGAACAACAAGUUAACCACCAAUAAAAUCUUGGGUAGGACUCCUGUGAGGCUGUGACUACUGUCCCCGCCCAUAUGAGAAUAUGACUGCACUUUUCUGGUCCCCCAACCCAUGACCGGGAACAAAGGAAACAAUUCGAUCGUAGCAAUAGUGCGUUUCGCACUAUCUUGAUAAAUGAAACUUAUCUUGGCCUCGAAAGAUCACGACAAGUAGUCCAUCUGAUUCCUCGUGAUAUGCCCUGUAUCAAACCAUAUCACUACUUCAACUAUUUAUUUCGAUUAUUAGUAACUUGAUUAUAUAAAUAUAAAAGGCUACAAAGCUAUAUAAAGAUUGGCCCAGGCAAACCGGCCAUACUAGCCGAUCCCAUUCUCAACUUGAAGGAAUAUCUCUGAAACAUCAACUUGGAGAACUUUUUUCUUUUGCAACCAUCAACUUGGACAACUUGCCUGCAGGAGUGUCGCAAUACUGGAAGAGCCAGCUCGCACUGUCACACAGCUUAGAAAUAGCAUCCAGGAACUUUCUCCAGGAAAGAAACAAAAUGCCAAAGCAAGCACGGGUACGGUCUAUUCGGGAGCCAGGAACAGCACUGGACAGGUACGUACGUACAGCUUCUGAAUUUCUGACGACACACGGCCCAUAUGCAUGCAGACAUCCAUGUUACUUUUGAGGGUGCAAACGAGCUUAGCCAACGACAGCACACAUCUCAUCGGUGCGGUGCAUCCGGUGCAGGGAUCGUGCAAGUAGACGAGCGAGACGACGUCGAUCGACGAUCGAGAUUGUCGGUGACAUGGGACCGGAAGUAUCAUGACUAGAGGCUUGGGCAACAGCAAUCACCCACGAGACCUGACCCCCUCGGGGGGGUCGGGCCCGAGGGUGAUGUGGCCGCCCCCCUCUUUGUCUCCCCGAGGGGUCGGACCGCUCCCGUUUCGGCCCCGAGGGUUGAGGCGCCCCGACCCCUUGGGGGUUUUGCGCCGCGUGUCUGGGUUAGGCGAGCGCAGCGGGGCUCACCUAACCGCAUUUAUUGCGGUUUGGUCAAGCGCGUCACGCCGCAUGUAACGCAGUGCAGCGCGCUCGUUUAUCCGGUCUGUGACCAGUCACAGACCGAUCAGAUCGUGGAUUAGGUGGCGACAGGCGGUCUGACACACGCCUCGCUCCAUCCCGUCAAGAUGAGAGCCUCCAAGCACUCGUCCCUAGCCGGAGCCGGCGUGUUACCUCCUGGAGAUGGCACGUUAGUCCCGGUCAGAUAUAUGCCAGGCUUCAUCCUAACCAUUACAAGCAAGAUAUUGUAUGAAGAAGGGCGAACAUGCAGAUUGAUAAACUGACGCGUGGUGGACAAGAAUGACCGAUUUGUGACCGGUCUGACACUGGUCAUAUCGUCAGCAGACAGCCAUGUUCCCACGUCGCGCCUGCUUCCGGCGGAAGUGGAGGUAGGUAUGGGCCGUCCCAUCAGAAGGUCAUUCAGACGGCAACCAUACAAAUCUCCGUCCAUUUAUGAAAAGAUAGGAUAAGUCCCCACACAAAAGAGAGAGAUGGUGCAUGUGGUAUCCCCUUGAGAUAUAAAAGGAGGACCUUGCCCACUUAGAAAGGGAGGGAGGAUCUGGAGAGUAGAUCCCACGAGAGGAAAAAAGGGGAGAAGAGGGUUUCUAGAGUAAGAGCUCUCUGGCUCUCCAGCUCUUUGUAGCUUCUUCAUACACAGAUCCACCAGAACACAGGAGUAGGGUAUUACGCUUCUUAGCGGCCCGAACCUGUAUACAUCGCCCGUGUCUUGUGCUUUUUCCAUUCUCGUGAGCCUUCCACACACCGAGAGCUUAGAAUCUCACCCAGGGCCCCCGGCCGAACCGGCAAAGGGGGGCCUGCGCGGUCUCCCGGUGAGGAGCCCCACGCUCCGUCAUCUGGCGUGCCAGGUAGGGGGUUCUGCGUGUGUUCUUCUAAGCUCUCGCACUCUUUCGUGUGCGCCAAGCUUUUCCUGUUCAGCCCAAUGGCCGAACAAGCAAAGGCGCACAGCCUCUCUCCGAGUGUUAGCGGUGACGACGGGGAGCCGAACCCACGCCGUCGAGCUCGUACUCCACCGCCCCCUCCACGCCAAAGUCCUAGGCGGGAGGAGGCGCUCGAGAGGGUCGAAGGAUCCGCGACUUCGACAUCCACGGGUGAUGGGGAAGGGCGGCGAGAUGGGGAGCGUCGCCUCCUCGUCUACGGCGAUGGCAGCACGCCCAGGGCGCGCUCCAAACUGCGGGCGCGCUCCUACGUCACCCGCCCAUUGUCCCUGACCCGGAGUCUCCAGCCCAACGUUGGCUGGACGACGUGGCCAACUUGGUCAUGACGGCACGGCAGCGCCUAGGUGCUGGUGGGCGGUCCUCCGCCACCAAGACCUCUGGCGCUGCUACCACCGGCUCCGUGUCAUCAAGGCGGAGGGCGCGGCGAGCGGCGGCGGUUGCUCGCCAUUCGGCCGCCACUCCUUCGUCAGCGCCUCCGACCCAGGAAGAUCUGCGUGGGGGGCCGGAUGCCCGCAUCAGUAUCGAGCGCCGGCGUAAUGGCCGACGUGCUGCCCACGCAACGGAGGGCGCCUCCUCGUCCGGAGUGUCACAUCAACACGGACGCGGGGAUCAGCCCUCCGUGCCCCCGGUUGGUGGUGUCGGCUGUAGAGCCUUUGUGGCGAGCCUUCGGAACGUCCGUUGGCCCCCAAGGUUCCGGCCCACCAUCGCCGAAAAAUAUGACGGGAGCGUCAACCCCGCCGAGUUUCUCCAGGUCUACACGAUCGGGAUCGAGGCCGCCGGGGGUGACGACAGGGUCAUGGCGAAUUUCUUUCCCAUGGCCCUGAAGGGACAGGCACGGGGUUGGCUAAUGAACUUGCCACCCGCGUCCGUCCACUCUUGGGAGGAUCUGUGCCAACAGUUCACCAUGAACUUUCAAGGCACAUAUCCGCGCCCAGGUAAAGAAGCGGACUUACAUGCAGUCCAGCGAAGGGAUGAUGAGUCACUUCGCUCAUACAUUCAGCGGUUCUGUCAAGUCCGCAACACCAUACCAUGCAUCCCUGCACACGCGGUGAUCUACGUGUUCAGGGGGGGUGUGCGGCACAACCGCAUGCUCGAAAAGAUUGCCUCUAAAGAGCCCCAGACUACCGCGGAGCUUUUUUAGCUUGCGGACCGAGUGGCUCGUAAGGAGGAGGCAUGGACCUGGAACCCCUCCGGUUCCGGAGUGGCAGCUUCGGCCGCCCCCGGAUCCGCUGCUCAGACAGGGCGGCGGGACAGGAGGAGGAAGAAGAGGUCGGCCCAUUCCGACGACGAGGGUCAUGUCCUCGCCGUCGAGGGCGUUUCGCUGGCCACCCGAAAGGGGAGGCCUGCGAGCGACAGAAAGAAGGCCGGCGCUCCUUGACCUCGACUACUUGGAAGAGCGAAGGCGGCGCGCGGCCCUCCGAGCCGCGCGCUACCAGCAGAGCCUGCGGCGCUACCAUCAGCGCCACGUCCGGGCCCGAUCACUCUGCGUCGACGACCUCGUCCUACGCCGCGUCCAAACGCGUGCUGGAUUGAGCAAGCUCUCACCAAUGUGGGAGGGUCCGUAUCGAGUGAUUGGCGUCCCCCGGCCGGGCUCCGUUCGGCUGGCCACGGGCGACGGCACAGAGCUGCCUAACCCGUGGAACAUCGAACACCUUCGUCGCUUCUACCCCUAGUGGGGGUCGGGUGUCAGGUCUUGGGCUCGGGCCAACCCCGCACCCCCCCGGGCGUGCAGGGUUGGCCGGGGGCUUAUCUUUUUUCUCUUCCGUAUUUCAAUAAAAGCAUUUUCGAUUUCCUAAGGACUGUGUCUGUGCCAUUGUUUCCUUUUGAAGAAUCUUGGCUUGAAUUAGCACACUCGUGCUCGACCCUGUCCUCGGGGGCUCGGGUCGGCUAAAAUCGCCAAACGGGGCCCAGAACCGAGCCGUGCCCCGGGGCGUGGUGAACUCCGGGGGGGAAUUGGCAAAAACCCACAAUCGGGUCACCCAUAACCCUCGGUCACCACGCUCCCGGCCUGGCCAGUCUCGACAUGUGGAUCUCCCCAGGCACUAGCCCCGACCCGAGCCAUUUGAGGACUAGGACCUGGGCACGAGCCCUUGUUCAAGCCAAGACACAGAAGGACCGCGGCACAGACCAUCCUCGUCUCAUACACACAACAAAUAGAAUUGACAUAGAAAUUUCCUCUUUAUUUGGUUGCAGAUUAAAUUAGUCUAUACAAGAAGGGGGCCCGAAGGCCUCGGAAGAAGAAAGAAAAAGCUAUUCAAGAUUGGCGGGGGCCUGGGGGCUCACUCCGACGCGCCCGGGUCACCAGCCUUGUCGUCGCUGUCGUCCGCACCACCGUCACCGCCCUCCUCGUCGGAGUCGAGGGCGAACGCGAGCCGAGGGGCCGUACCCUCGAAGCUGUGGACGAUGUGGUCGGCGGCGUCCCGGACCUGCGCGCGUGCGCCGUCCUCGGUUCCGGAAGGGAACUCUUCCAGCGCUGCCCACGGGGAGAAGUCAGGGUCCGAGAGGCCCCCAAGCCGAACGGCGGCCCAAGGCCCCCGACGGCCGGAGUUGGCCCUCCGCCUGCUUGUCCGACGGUGUUAGGCGCCCCCGACCCUCAGGAUAGCCUCGGGGCCACUACGGGAAGGCCGCGCCUGUCGCCCUCUGACCCCGAGGUUAUCGGCACAGAAGCCGAGGGCGCCCCGCGCUGCCUCUCGGAUGAAGAGCGCCCUGGAGAUGCGGCCCCUAGCGAAGAGGAUCGGCCCCGCCGAAAGGUGCAGCGGCCCGUCUACUUUGUUAGCGAGGCCCUCCGGGACGCCAAAACCCGAUACCCUCAGGCCCAGAAGAUGCUAUACGCUAUUCUGAUGGCUCCGAGAAAAGCGCCAUCACCAUAUCUCCAGGCAAAACGAACCGGCUCGUCCCGAUUCGCGUGCUACUCGAGUAAUGUGGCAGUCUUGAAGAGACCGCUCAUUAUUGGCAGCCGAGUAACCAUUGCCGAUGUGCGUGAUUUGCGAUCGUUGGGUUUCUGCCCAACUGUGGAGACCGGUCCCACCUGUCACCAGGCCUUAAGAAGUGGCGUCACGCCCGACCGCUUCCCUCGAGGAGGGCGAUCGCCCUGGCAUAACACCGGGGGCUACUGUCGGUGACAUGGGACCGGGAGUAUCAUGACUAGAGGCUUGGGCAGGAGCAAUCACCCACGAGGCCUGACCCCCUCGGGGGGGUCGGGCCCGAGGGUGAUGUGGCCGCCCCCCUCUUUGUCUCCCUGAGGGGUCGGACCGCUCCCGUUUCGGCCCCGAGGGUUGAGGCGCCCCGACCCCUUGGGGGUUUUGCGCCGCGUGUCUGGGUUAGGCGAGCGCAGCGGGGCUCACCUAACCGCAUUUAUUGCGGUUUGGUCAAGCGCGUCACGCCGCAUGUAACGCAGUGCAGCGCGCUCGUUUAUCCGGUCUGUGACCAGUCACAGACCGAUCAGAUCGUGGAUUAGGUGGCGACAGGCGGUCUGACACAUGCCUCGCUCCAUCCCGUCAAGAUGAGAGCCUCCAAGCACUCGUCCCUAGCCGGAGCCGGCGUGUUACCUCCUGGAGAUGGCACGUUGGUCCCGGUCAGAUAUAUGCCAGGCUUCAUCCUAACCAUUACAAGCAAGAUAUUGUAUGAAGAAGGGCGAACAUGCAGAUUGAUAAACUGACGCGUGGUGGACAAGAAUGACCGAUUUGUGACCGGUCUGACACUGGUCAUAUCGUCAGCAGACAGCCAUGUUCCCACGUCGCGCCUGCUUCCGGCGGAAGUGGAGGUAGGUAUGGGCCGUCCCAUUAGAAGGUCAUUCAGACGGCAACCAUACAAAUCUCCGUCCAUUUAUGAAAAGAUAGGAUAAGUCCCCACACAAAAGAGAGAGAUGGUGCAUGUGGUAUCCCCUUGAGAUAUAAAAGGAGGACCUUGCCCACUUAGAAAGGGAGGGAGGAUCUGGAGAGUAGAUCCCACGAGAGGAAAAAAGGGGAGAAGAGGGUUUCUAGAGUAAGAGCUCUCUGGCUCUCCAGCUCUUUGUAGCUUCUUCAUACACAGAUCCACCAGAACACAGGAGUAGGGUAUUACGCUUCUCAGCGGCCCGAACCUGUAUACAUCGCCCGUGUCUUGUGCUUUUUCCAUUCUCGCGAGCCUUCCACACACCGAGAGCUUAGAAUCUCACCCAGGGCCCCCGGCCGAACCGGCAAAGGUGGGCCUGCGCGGUCUCCCGGUGAGGAGCCCUACGCUCCUCACCGGGAUGGGCCAGGGCUGCGAGGACGACGGCCUGACGGAGACGGGAUAAAAUCUCGUGGAAACGGUCUAGCUCUACGCUGCUACCGGCCACUAGUACGUAGACGUGUGGGUGCAAGUGUGCAACGCGUACGCGCACGGCUCAGCGUACGCGGCCCCCAUGGAUGCAUACGUACACAGUACACAGGCGUACAUGUACAGGUUUGUGCUUUCGGUCGACGCAUGCGUGGUUCCCCUGCACGGGACAAGGAGAUGAGCAAAAGCGAUUGAUGCCAACUUUGGGGCAAAGGCCGGCGCGCGGGUUUUUGACGAAUUCGGCUUCGCUGUGGCGGAAGUGGUUUUCACGGGCGAGGACCAACGGUUUGCUUUUGCACGGCAUGGGGCGCUCGUCUUUGGGCUUAUACUUUAAGUUACACGGUUGAUGGGCUUCGGGGUGCAGGUUUUGCCGGUCGGUGAGAUGAUGGACCAUGUGCUGACGUGCAUGUAUUUGGGCGGUUGGGCCGGCUAGGCUUCGGAAGAGGCGAAAAGCGGACCGGGAUUGGCAUAGCGGGUUUGGCGCGGUCAAUUCCACACAUGAUUAGUAGGCACGCAUGUGGUUCCCAUCUUCUUUUUUCUUUUUUUGUGGGGGAAAGGAAUCAAUUACUCAAAAAUAAAAUCGACUUUUACAAUCUGUGCUAACUCAUCACAAUUAGAAUCUAACCAAGAAUUCGAAAAAGCUUCAUAUCUAGCCUUAUUAGCUAAAGAGUGGCUAACAAAGUUUUGACUUCAGUGAUUUUCCCGAGCAAGAUCUCCCUACUUCCAUUCAUGUGGUCACACACCUCUCUAACUAAGAAAGCCAAUUCUGACAAAUUCUUCUCUUUUGUUUGGAUCAAUUGCAGCGCUAGAAAGCAAUCUGUUUCCAAAGCGAUCGGGCAUAGCUAGGGUCCAUUGAAGCGCUAGAACAAUCCCUUUUCUGAUCGCCAACAAUUCAGCUUCCAGUGCGUUGCAACACCUGUUCAGAUAAGUGCAAGCAGCGGAAAUAGGUUUCCCUGAACACCCCCUUUUUUGUGGCUAGCCUCAAAGGAUCCAUCAACAUUGAUCACUUUCAUCCAAAGGAUCCAUCAAUAUUCACUUUCAUCCAUCCAAUGUAAAGCUAGGAUUUGGUAAAUCUUUUUAUCUCGACUAGUAAAAAAUCUAACAUAUUUCCGUCGUCUCAUAUGACUUCAUAGUUCCUCGCACGAUAUCAGUUACACCCCACACGUCUGACUGCACACGUUUGCGACAUACCUUAGUACCUCAGAGAGCCCGACACUUUCUACUCUACUUAGUCUCUUUGCUCUUCAGUGGAGCACUUGACUCCGUUUGCAUCAUUGCAUGGACUCCUACCGUGUAGGUUGUCACUGCAUCACUAUUUUCCCUUCCUUUUUCUUUUUGGAAAAUUUUAUUACAUGACACCCAAAGUUUGUGUAAUUUUCUAUCAGACAUAGAAAAGUGUGCUAUGGCUGCAUGAUACCCUCAAAUUUUGAUAAUUUCCUGAAGAACACUUUCGGCUCGAUUGGAAAAAUUCUUUAAAUAGACUAGAAUGCUUUUGGGGCCACAAGCUUCUAAGUUAGUGUUGGAUUUUAAAAAAUAAAAAUUAUGCAACUCUAAAUCUUCCAUCAGCCGAAGUAUAUUGCUAGCAUAUAUCAUAUUCCAUCAACACUCCAAUUCUAGGUUAGAAGUUUUUGGCUAUAGGGGUAUUCUCGUUUUUAAAAAUUCUCUUUGAUUGGGUUAAAAGUGCCCUAUAGCAAAUUAUGAGUUUUUUGGUGUCCUCCAACCGUGACACGCUUUUGCGAUGUCUAGUAGAAAAUUACACAAACUUUGAGUGUCAUGUGACAAAAUUUGACUUUCUUUUUCCCAAUUCAUGAGAAAUAUUAAAAGUCUAUGAUAUGGUGUGUAUGUGGUAGAAAAGUUUAUAAGCGGUGAAUUAUUCCCCACGCUUGACAUCCUUUGUUUCUGUUCACUAAUAUUUUCCAUUGAUUUAUUGAUUUUUCUGUUGCAACACACAUGUCCUUUGCUAGUAAAGAAAAACCCCAGAGCCAAGAAUACGAAUAUAAAGAUAGGCAAUUAUCACAACAAAGAGAAACUAGGAGAGCAAACAAGACGAUGCAGCCAAUUGCCUUUGCCUUUACAUCAAAAUUUGCAUCUGCAUAUGUAUAAUUAUGGUGAUUCACAGCCCCGACCCUGAAAGACUGACAAGCCAUACAUCCUGUACUUAAAUAAUUAAAUAUAAUUUCUUUCAAUUCCCAAGAUACAGCAAGGCAUAUAUGAUACCAUACGUGCUUCAACCUAUGAUACACUAUAACAUUUAUGACACAAUAUAACAAACUUCUAUUUAACGGCCUGAUUCUAGACACUGAAGUUCACUAUUGAUGCUGAAAUUUCCUGUAUUCUCAACCGUUGAGUUGUUGAUCUCGUAAGAAGAGUCCCCAAGUAAGCUCUCCAUCUCUUCAGGAUUUUGUUGUGCCCAUGGAUGUUGCAUUACCUUCCUCAACCUAUCGAGCUUGUCUGCAACUUCCUUCAUCAACGGUCUAUUCUCACCAGACAUUUCCAAGCAUUGCUUUGCUAACUCUGCAAUCUCUUCAAGAAACUCCAAAUUAUCUCCCGUCAUGAUUUGAUCAUCUAAAAUAUCAGAAAGUCUUUUUUCCUUCAUGGCUGAUAGAAACCUCAUGGCUAGGCUCCUCUCAUCUUCAGGGCUUUCAAGGUUGAAUGCUUUCUUUCUUGUGAGCAAUUCUAGAAUAACAACUCCAAAGCUAUAUACAUCACUUUUAUCUGUUAACUGGCAUGUUUGCAUGUACUCUGGAUCGAGGUAUCCACAAGUUCCUUGAACGAGAGUGACGAACUGCGACUCAUCAGUUGGUGCUAGGAUGGAAGCACCGAAGUCAGAAACUUUUGCUACAUAAUCUUUGUCUAAGAGGAUAUUUGAGGACUUGACAUCGCCAUGGAGGAUCGGUGGUGAUGCCCAUGAGUGUAAAUAGGCAAGAGCCUCUGCAGAUUCAUGUGCAAUACGUAAGCGAGUAUCCAAGGAGAUGUGUUGAUUGUGGUUCCCGUGGAUGAGAGAGAACAAUGUGCCAUUUGGAAUGAACUCAUAGACAAGCAUCGGAACUUCUACUUCGAGGCAGCAACCCAAUAAUUUGACAACGUUCCUAUGGUUGGUUUGGGACAAGAUUAGCAUUUCCUUGCCGAAUUCUUUCUUUUGUUUCAUAUCAAUUGUGAUGCAUCUUUUGACGGCUAUUUCCGUGUUUCCCUUGAGAAGUCCCUUGUAAACAGUUGCAUUGCCUCCUUGGCCAAGGACUUGUUGUUUGUCAAACUUGUUUGUUGCUUGUUGCAAUUCUUCUUCUGAGAAGAUUUUGAAUGAAAUGCCUUGUUGAGAUUUUAUCUCUUCGAAUAGCAACAUACCACCAUGUUGGCGGAAGUACCGCCUUUUGACAUACUGUAGCUUUCUCUUCUCUCUGAUGAAGCAUGCAUAAGUUACUAUAAUCACUAGUAAUACGGCCCCAACACUUGCUCCUGCAUAUAUAAUAGAAAACUUUAGAAUUGCUAUGAAAAGAUUAUUGGAAUGUGUAGUUGAUCCCUUUAUGCUAGCCCCAAGGAAGUCCCACAUAUGCCACAUCGGCAUUGGCAGAGGAAGAUUCACUAAAUUAUUUUUUUCUUUAGCAACUUGAGGAGUUCGUGAGGAUUUCAUCAUUAGUUGGAACAUGAAAUGUUCAUGAUCAAAAAAUGUGUCCAUUCUUCUUACUAUAGAAAAAUACACACCAUGCAUGCAUGAUUCAUCAGUGGUUGCUGGUCUUGCUAUGGUGUACAAAUUAAUAUUAGGAAUAUCUAGAAAAGAGAUAUAGUUGCAAGAAUGAAUGUAUACUAAAUGCUAAAGUAAAAGGGUAGAUAAAUGAGGGCUAGCUUCAGAAUGAAAAAUACAUUAAUUAUGCAUACACACCUUAUUGUUUAAACUUGAAAGCCAGAACGAAUACCAUUUUUAAACAUAUAACUAUAUAUAUAGUAGAGGCAUUGUAAAUUAGGAUUAUAUUUUUCUAUAUCUGCAUGAGGAAAACGAUAGAGCUACUAUAUAGUAAAUAACUAAAUAUAGCACAAAUGUAUAAGCAAAAACAUAAAUGUAUAUCGAUCUCACAUGCCAUUUUAAUUCUUAUAGGAAGAGACGAACUCACCUAUUACAAGAUUUUUAGGAAAACCAGACUUCUGAUUUGGAAUGCAAAUUCCAUUCAUCAUAUAGUUUCCAGGGUAGCAUGAGCAGGUGAAAUUCCCCAACGUAUUCUUACAUAUUCCCGGACAAGGGUAAGUAGCAUUGUCGAGGCACUCAUUAAUAUCUGAAGCCAAACCAUCAACACAUUUGGUUAAAAUUGUUGCAUUAUCUUAUACAUUUGUAACAAAGAUAGGCAGCAGGCAUAAGAAGGUGUGUAUGACUAUACCUUUGCAUCCAUCCUUGACGUAUGGAUUGCCUUCAUAUCCAUCAGAGCACUUGCAGCGGUAACCUCCCUUUGGAUCAUCAACACAACGACUUUUUCCACUAAUGCAUGCAUAUGAAGUAGUGUUUCUUUUGACUCGAUCACAUGAAUCCAUUGUUAUGAUCCAAUCUAGGGAAACCUUAGCUAACCCAUUGUAUGUGUCAUAGAAUGUAGUGGAGUUGAAAUAAUUUUUGUUGAAGUUGAAGGUUGUGGUUUCCAUCACUGUUAUGAAGCUGCAAGGACUGCUGUUAUUAUUUCUUUUACUGAAAUAAGUACUAUAGUACCAUGUGCCAUUGGGGAAAUCAAGUUUGCAGCAACCCGCUUCACCGGAACAUAUACCGUCCUUGGGGUCGUUUCUGCAUGAGGGCACACAACCUGUUAAAACCUGCACAUGUUACGUAUUAUAUAUACACCUUAAUACAAGAUUUGACAAUGAUCCAAAUAAUUCCCCCCCACACACACAUCCUAUUUGGGAAUUGACACGAUUUUCAAGCACACCCUUUAAUUUUGAGAAAGGCCGUGUUUAGAUUCAUUUUUUUUUUGCCAAAAACGUCGCAUCGAAUGUUUGGACACAUGUUAGAGCAUUAAAUGUGGACGAAAAAAAACCAAUUUUAUAGUUUGCAUGUAAAUUGCGAGAUGAAUCAUUUGAGCCUAAUUACACCAUUAUUUGACAAUAUGAUGCUACAAUAAACAUUUGCUAAUGACGGAUUAAUUAGUCCUAAUAAAUUUGUCUCGCAGUUUACAGACGGAAUGUAUAAUUUGUUUUGCUAUUAGUUUAUGUUUAAUACUUUAAAUGUGUGCUGUAUACUUAAAAAAAAAUUGGCCAAGGAACUAAACACACCAAGAGUAUGUUUGUAUUCACAAUUUCAUAUACUCCAUCAAAAGUAUCAAAAGGCUCUGAAUUGUAGGUAGGCACAUGUAUUUCCAUUGAACGAAUAUGCUCAUAUGUACUCCUUACUCCUAAUGUCGAUGGACACUAAUAUGAAAUGUAGGAUUUAAACAUUGAUAGGCUUACAAUCACACCACCCAGCCAUUUGGCCACAUGCCAACUUCCAACCACUACAAAAUUAUAUAUACUUAUGCUCUGAAUUUCUCAUAUAUACACACUACCUCCAAUUCACAAGUAAGUGUUGUUUUGGAUACCUACACAAUCACCAAUACAUCACUUUGAUUAUUAAUUACUAAUAUUAAAAUGUACACAAAAUAUAGCACAUUUAUAAUAUUUUGAAAGUACUUUUAAAGGAAAAUAUUGUCAUAUCGUUUUCAAAAGUCAACUUGAAAUAGCAGCGGUCAAAUUUUCCACACGCAUUCCACAUGCAUGUGAAAGGGAGAAACUAAUAAUAUUCUCACAUGACAAAUCCUAAGUCGUCCUUGAUAUAUAAAGGAAUAAUAAUUUAGACUAUCAUGUAUUUUAAAGGCCAUAUAUUAUGAACACAUUUGAGUAUUUGUGAUCUAAUGCAACCAGAUUGACGAAUUAUGGGCAUAUACUUACAUUAUUGAUCUGCAUAUACGAAAACGUUUCGCACCCGAUGACGAUGAUCUUGUUAUCCCUGUCCGAUAUCCAGAAAGGCGAGCGGCUGAAGCUCACAGAUGUUGUGUUGGUGUUGUCCUCCCUGGUGCCCGUCGACUGGUUGUAGCAGUUCUUGGAUAUGUUCAUCUUCAUCCAGGCCUUGCCGUCUUCCAUGGAGAUCUUGGUCACCUCCAUACCCCUGAAGAAAGGCUUGCUGGUGCCGUCAACGGGCUUGCAGUCGAACUUGAACGGGUAGUUUGUGUAAGGCGCCUCGAGCCCGCAGUGCUCGCCGAUGCCGAACGGGAACGGGAUGUCCACGGCGCCGCACUUGGUCGGGCAGCCCGGCUUCGAGACGGCCGCCACCGGCGCCGGCACGUUGCCGGCUGCGGCCGGCGGCGCCGAGACGGCAAGGCAGAGCAGCAGCAGCGACGAGUACUGCAGAAGAAGCGGCGGGCGGCUGGCCAUUAGCGGCCUGAUGGCGAUGGCGAUGGCUCUGGCUGCUCCGGCGAAAGAUGUACACAAAGAGCAAGCAAGUGAAAGGACUUAUGUGAUAUUCUAAUGACAAAUUAAGAACUUGUGUGUCAGUCCAAGGCAUAUGAUGCCGUAGCUUUAUAUUAAAAUGGGUUGCUUGGUUGGGUGCAUGCACUGGCCUAAAUAAGACUCUCUCUGCUUAUGUUGGAUGCAUGCAUGUUGUUAUUGAAAUGACACCAGGGAGGCUUCGCAGAACCGGUCGUUUGAUACUUUGAUGUAUAGUGACAGGUCUAUGGUAAUUGGAAGGGCAAAUUUUACGAUACUUGAAAAAGUAUCGACGUAUGAAUUUUGGUAUCUCGAAGUGAUGUACUUAAAUAUCUGGAGCAGGGUAUAACGGUUUGUUUUCUCUAUUUCUAUAAGUACUGAUAUAGCUGAAAUUUCGGUUCAAAAUUAUUUGUAAUGUUGAACAAAAUUUGAUUAAAUAGGAACAUUUUUUUUCUAAAUACGCGAAAAAAUCACCCGCAAUCAUCUCGUUUUUUUGGGUGUGUUUUGGGGGAGGGGGGGGGGGCUCGAUGGACCCGAAAUGUUAGAAAUUUCAGUUCCAAAUUUUAAAUCUUAAUCUAUAAUGCUAAUUUUUUUUAAAAAAAAUAUGUAACUUUUCGGUAAAUUUUUAAAAAGGUAAAGUUACUUAGUUGGAAGAGCUUUGUAUGCUUAACACUAUCAAAGACAGUGCAUGACUUGAUACAGGUGCUCGUAGUUACGACUAAUUAUUAUUUUAGUUAUAGACGAUGUACCUAUCGACAACGAGAUGUCCGUAGUGAUGACUUCAUUAUUCUCAAGAUAUACUGAUCUAGUCUUUAGAAAAUGUUUAUAGGGAUAGGAUGUGUGUAUUUAUGUUUACAAGGGUGAGUAUAUGUAUGAGGACCUGCGUUUGUACUGACUUUCUUUAGGAAAAAAAAAGACAUUGCGUAUGACAUCGACACGCUGCACAAAAUUCCGCGCGCUAUACUGCUAGCCGGUGGUGCUACUGAUCGGCUACGUGCAGAAUUGAUGUACCUUUAUUUUUUCACAUUUUUGAAGAGAAACGCAUUAAUGUCUGAUCAAAUAUACGUGUCAUUUUGAUGCAAGUGGAUACCUAGUCCAUUACAGGUCGUGUUUAGUUCGUGUGUUAAUUUUUUCUAAAUAUACGGACGCACAUUUGAAAUAUUAAAUAUAGGCUAAUAACAAAACAAAUUACAGAUUCUGCUUGUAAACUACUUUCUCCGGGUUGAUAAUACUUAUUGUUUUGGACAAGAGCACGGUCUCCAAAAAAUAACUUUGACCAUUAUUUUCUAUUAUAAUAUGUAUAAAAAUGUUAACAAAUAUAUGAUUUUAUUAAAGUACUUUUUAAGACUAAUCUAUACAUGUAGUCACCAUAUUUAAAAGACAAAUAUUUUAAAAAUAAUUGAUAAUUAAAGAUUCUAAAGUUUGACUUCACCCUUGUCUAAAAUAACAAGUAUUAUCAGCCCGAAGGGAGUACGAGACGAAUUUAUUAAGCCUAAUUAAUCCGUCAGCAUCACAUUGUCAAAUCACGGCGUAAUUAGGCUCAAAAUAUUUGUCUCGCAAUUUUACAUGCAAAUUGUGCAAUUGGUUUUUUUCGUCCACAUUUAAUGCUCCAUACAUAUGUCCAAACAUUUGAUGUGACAAAAUUUUUGAAAGUUUGAAGGGAACUAAACACUGCCAUAGUUCAAAGUGCUAUGAUUAGAUAGGGUCCCUGUGCACACUAGCUUGAAAAACCGUCGGAGUGAAUUAUGCUGUGUGAAAUUCAUAUGUCCAAUUUACUCUUUGGAAAGGUUAGUGUGAGAAUCCUUGAGUCUGUUUGGCAAAGUUCCAGCUCCAACGCCAGUUUUACCUUUUCUGGAGCUAGAGCUUAGCCAAACAAUUUCGGCUACCUAGAAUAGGAGUGGAGCUACGUGGAGCUUUCUCACAAAAUAAAAGAGGUGGAGCUGGGUUUAGGCAACUGUAAUAGAGAGUUGGAGCUGGGUUUAGGUAGCUUCACAACUUCACUACAGACCCAACUCCUGAAGUUAAAUUUAGGAGUUAUAACUUUACCAAAUAGGCACCUAGUUAUUUGUGCUUCUGGUCGAUCCAUGCUUGAUGCUUUAGUUUGGCAAGUUGAUGCAAUGGUUUCUAAAGCCACACGCUUCAGACCUAAAUUUGGAUUUGACGGGAGUGCAUAGAUUGGGGUAGGAGAAAAUUAAUAAAAAAAACUAAUAUUUCUCAGUAACGAGAAACUGCAAUAUAAUGUUUCACAUUCCAUGAAAUUAUUAGUUGUCGCGUACGAAAUGGGGGAAACUUGUAGAUUUUCCGGUAAUUAAGCCGAUAUUUAAUGACUAGUGAGCCCUCAAAGGAAGACUAUGUCAAUAUGCAUGUGCACUUAACUCACGAAAACGACCUUACUACCUGAUGGUAAUGGGUCCUUUGUUUUGUUAAUACCACGGUCUAGAAGAUCUUGGCUUCAACUUGGGUAUGUACAUGAACUAGCUAGCCGGUGUCGGUCGCAUAUUCAUCGACCAUUGCAUGUUACCACAAUAGGCACACACAUAUGAAAUCUUCAAAUUGCUACUAGCGCUGGCUGGUUGGUAGUGAUGUAAGUGGACUGAGCUGCAAAUCACUUAUAGAUCAAAUAAGUAUAGGUCUGGUUACCGUACCUAGGAAUACAAAUGAGUUAUCACGUGAACUCACUUGUAGACUAAAUUAUUGGGUAAUCCACCGGUCAAUUUGUGAGUUACCCACUAAUUUUGUUUAUGAGUGGAUUCAUGGAUCGAUCUAUUUGCAUCCCUACUGAUUAGAACUCCUUAUCUCUGGCGUGUAAAGCAAAACACGCAUAGCACAUAAUUAAUUAAGCAUUAGCUUAAAAAUACUUUUAAAAACGGAUUAACAUGGUUUUUAAAGUAAUUUUUUAUAGAUUUUUUUUAAAAAAAAGCGUAUUAUUUAGCCGUUUGAAAAGUAUGCACGUGGAAAAUAAAAAAAUAUGAGCCUGGGAACAAGUCGUCGCUGAUGCUAAUUUGAAUUUCUAUAUUGUCGCAAUCAUCGAUCUGCUUGCCCUCCAAAGCCAGCUUACACACAACACAGCAAUGAAAAUGGCACGGCGUACAUCUUGAGGACGAUAAGGCAUGCAGGUCCUUUCUCCAGGAAACAAACCAUAAUUAAUUAAGUAUCACAAAGCAAUCAUGGUAAAAGUGUUACGAGGGGAUUUAUCCGGUAAAAAUAAUCAAAUAAGUGAAAAUCCAUAAAAACCAAACUUAAAAGUUUUAUAAAUUCAUAAAAAAAUUUUCUAGAGUGCAUGCAUGAAAUACAUUAUUAUCAAAUAUCAAGUUCAAUUCACCUUAUUAUGGAGUAAUAAAAAGAUAAAUUUCUAGGUGAAUACUAACGUAAUAUUCCCUUCAUCCAUAAUAUAAGGCAUGGUAAAAGUUGACACGGUCUCCAAAAUUAAUCUUUAGAUUAUAAUUUCUCAUAUACUAUAAGAUUUGUAGCAACAAAAGUAUAAUCAUAUGAAAGUAAAUUUAAAUGUCAAUCUAAUGAUAUAACUUUUAACAAAUAAAAUUCAUUUCAUAUUAUACUAAAUGUUGGUCAAAUAUUUUAAAUGUUAAAUCUUAAAAUACGUGCGCGCCUUAUAUUAUGGAAUAGAGGGAGUACUACUUACCUGAAAUUUGUCUUUUCUUUUUCUCUCUAAAAGGAAGGAAGUUGAGUUUGGAGUUAAGAUCUGGUAUGAAUACAUUUUAUGACUAUACCUGAUAGUAUUGUUUUUAUAAAUUUAGAAAUCUUUUAGGCAUUGUUUUUAUGAAUUUUCACUGGCACGAUGGUUUUCACCGGAUAUUCUCCCUCGUCAUGAGGAAAAAGUUCACUUUGGCUCCCUCGAAUAUAGGUCAAAACAAGAGUGCAUCCCUCAACCGUAAAAUUAGAUAUAACAGCUCCUUCAACUAUUAAAAUCAGAACAAAAUGACUCCAAAGACAACGUUGAAAGUGGUUUUUACUUAGGUGGCCGCCUAUAGUCAAUAAAGUAAAAAAAAUAUUCAUGUGAUCCACAUGUCGGCGACUUGGCGUCCUUUCUUUUUCUUCACUCUCUUCUUUUCCCAGCCAUAUCGGCAAUACGGCCCUCCGCGACGACGGCGCCCUACGCUCACUCAAUCCGCCUUCUCCCCCUUCUCUGGCAUCGACAAGGACGGUGAUGGCGCUGGCUACAGCUAGCCACAGUUCGCGACGCUGCAGUCCCACACUCGCAUCCCUUGGGGCGUUGGAUUGACGUCGUGGUCCCAGACUUUGCACACAACCGGCCGGCAAAGGAGGGGAAGGGGAGAGGGAAGGUGGUGAGGAGGAGGGUGUAGGAGAGGGUGGAGCCGAUGGAGAGCGGGAGCAACCAACGGUGAUCGACGGCAGCGGCGGUAGGGGAGAGGGCGGUGCCGGUGGUGGGCUUUCAUCUCAUUUCAUCUCGUGGGCCUUGCGGUAGCUCUCUACUAUUGGAAAGUAAUGUGUGUACUUUUCUUCAUCAGUAGUACAGGUGGUGUGGAUGAACUGAAGCAACUAAAGUCAUAAACACCUUGACCAACCAACCAAACCAAACAAAAUUUUAUGGCAUCAUAUGAUUGAAAGCUUGUAUUACCUAAAGCAAGCACAAGUGCACGUAGGGUGUCGACGAUGCCCAUCACCUCAAAUGGCCCUGGAGAUGCCGGAGAAUAGCUGUUAGGUACUGCGCUGCCGGCGCUACAACGGCCUCGCACAUAUGCUGCCACGAGUGCCGCUACAAGUGCAAGGCCAUCUGCACCGCCUUACACCACAUCCAAGUCCAGGGCCAUCAGGAUGUGGGCAAGGCUAGGUGGAUAACAAUCACCCUGCCUUCCGUGACGGCAACGUCGCAGAGGGCAGCAUCGCGAAGGUCUGCUAGCCGCAGCCUACCACCACUACUACACAUAAGAUUUUUCUAGACAGGGACCUCCCAUUUUCUCGUGCGGAGCUUUUUCAUGUGCGUCUGUAAAAAUCACUCCUAUUUUCACGUGCGGGCCUCCUAUUUUUACCUGCGGAUCCUUAAGAGGCCGCACGCGAAAAUCGAUUUUGGCAGGCGGCCCUCUUAACAUGCCCGCACGGAAAAAUACACAAUUUUCACAUGUGGGCCUCCUAAUCCACCCGCACAGGAAAAUAUCCAUUCCCUCUCAACCUAUUCAAAAAAUUUCAAAUUUCCUUCUCUCUCUCUCUCCCCUCCGCCCCUCUCUCCUCUCUGUCCCCCUUUAAUUAUCUUCUCCUCACUAUCCCCUCUCUCUCUCUCCCCCGGCCCCCUUCUCUCCUCUCUCUCGCGCCUUCUCCUUCUCCUUCUCCUUCUCCUUCGGUGCGACAGGAGUGGCAGGCUCGGCGGCGGGAGACCGCCCCCCGCCCGGAUCCGCGAGCUCGGGCGGCGGCCGGGUGCAGCGACGGGUGUUUCUAGGGUUAAGGUUAGGUUUUUUUUUUGAUUUUUUUCUAUUUUUUGUUUGGCUUUUUUUUUUGGUUGCGUGCGGGCGGUAUAAUUUGACCGCAUGGGAUAAUCAAUUAUCCCGUGCGGUCCACUUAACCCAACCGCACGGGUGCGGUUGGGUGCAGACACUUGGCUACAGAUGGACAAAAGCUCUGCACGGAGAAAUCCUUCUUGUAGUAGUGCACGGCACCACCGCCUCUACCGAUGCUGAAGAAGGGGGAGAAGGCGGAUCGAGCGAGUGCAGGGCACCGUUGUUGUGGAGGGUUGUAUUGCUGACGUGGUCGAAAAAAAAGAGAGGGGAGAAAAAGAAAGGACACCGACAUGUGGGCCCCACAUUUAUUUUUUAGUUUAUUUAGUGACUAAGCUGCCACGUGGAUGCCACGUCAGCGAAAACCACCUUCAAUACUAUCUUAGGAGUCAUUUUGUCCCAGUUUUAAUAGUUGAAGGAGUCUUUGUACCCGGUCUUACGGUUGAGGGAUGCACUUUAGAUUCGACCUAUAUCUGAGGGACUCAAACUGGACUUUUUGCCUCGUCAUCAACAGCUCUGCUGAUGUACGGGCCAGUUAUCCGUUAUCCACCACGAGGCCCAAUUCGAACUACAGAACCAUGUAAAACCCAAUUACCGAAACAAAAGUCCUAUUGGGCUACCAGUGCCACCAAUCUGAAUUUUGGAGCCCAUCAACACUGGCCUCUUUUUCACCUCGCAGCCUCGCACCGCAAGCCCAAGCAGCCGCAGGUUUCUUCCCCUCAUCAUCAAUCGAUGCGGCGGCCGAGAGACGGGCGGACCGGCGGUAGGAAGGGCGGCGCCGCCACCACCGCAUCAAGCAGGCGCGGAAGAACGCCUAGAUCCCGUCCUCCGGUAAUCUCCUGCCGCCACCGCCUGAUGCAGCAUCCCGAGGUCCAAUGCUCCCAUCCCAACCCUCGUGUGCAUAACUGCAUACUGGUUGGAGUACCAACCCUUUUUUUAGUUGUUGGUUAGAGUAUAGAUUUAUAGUUCUGGUUUAAAUUAAGCGUUUUAAUAUUUCUCUAAAAAGUCUAUGUUAAUUGGAGUAGGAUAACAAUCGGUUUGUUCAGAAACUGCCUUCAGAUUAAUCCUUUUUUUUAUAUAAUUUAAGAUGCUGAUUUAUAUUUAUGUAUACUUCUUACAGGAGCAGACAACGAUUCUCAAGGAAGGGUGGGACAAAUAGUUUGAUUUCAGGAGUAUAUGCUCCCAAUACGGAUGCCAUUACCAGCCACUGUAGGACUGAUGCCAUUGUGAGGUAAUGUUGUUUUGCUAUGAAACAAUUUACAUACACAUAGUUGCUCUAUUUUUUUUCUUUGGUUCAAUUGGUCUGAUGGAGAUUGACCUAUGGGUAAUAAAACUAUUUUUUUUUCAAUUGGUCUGAUGGAGAUUGACCUAUGGGUAAUAGAAUGUUUAAGCGGUUGGCUUACAAGCAAAGUAUAUUAUGCCACUCUCUUGAUUAUUGGAGUAUGCAAGAUUAUAAUGAACGGUAGUUUCUUAUGAGGAGAUCUAAUUAUAGUAUGUCGGCAGGCCUUGGUGUUCAAUAUAUGUGCAGGUGAAUGGUUACUGAUAAGCUAUUUCUGAGAAUAAAUAAACUUGCAAAGCAUAUGGAUCCUAACCUCUUGAAAAGUACAUGUUGUCGUGAUUUGUUAGCAGUAUGAGAAUUGAUCAAACUAUAAAAAGAAAAUGUGUGUCAAAUAUCAAAUCAAUUACUAUUGUACAUAGAUUUUUGAAAGGUAAAGCUACAAUAGCAAUUGAAACAACAACCUCACCUUUGGAUCUUAACAAUGAUGCAACCUUGAGCUACACAUAUAAAACAUGUAUGAAUCAUUCCAUAUAUGAUGACGAUUACCUAUACAUGUAAUACUUUUGGAGUAUACCUAUAUAAUUUCCUGGGAUAUGAUAUACAACAAGGUUAUUAGCGAUUAUCUUCCUGAUUCUAGGCCUAUUAAAGAUUUCUUCUCAAUGCUGAAAUUUCCCGUACUGACAACCUCCGAGCUAACAAUUGAUGACUCUCCUAGUAAGCUCUCCGCCUCUUCAAGAUUGUGCAGUGCCCAAGGAUGGUGCAAAACCUUUCUCAAGCUAUCAAGCUUUUCUGCAACUUCCUUCAUUGAUGGCCUAUUCUCACCACACAUUUCCAAGCAUCGUCUGGCCAACUCAGCAAUCUCUUCAAGAAUCUCCAUAUUCUCCUCGCUCUUAAUUUGAUCAUCCAAGAUUUCCUCAAGCUUGUUCUCCUUGACAGCAGAAAGGAACCUCACAGAUAGGCUUUUCUCAUCCUCUAGCCCGUCAAAAUUUAAUGGUUUCUUUCUCGUGAGUAGCUCUAGGACAACAACCCCAAAACUGUAUACAUCACUCUUAUCCGUUAAUUUCCAUGUUUGCAUGUACUCUGGGUCAAGGUACCCACGAGUUCCCUGCACAAACGUGACGAACUGUGCAUCAUCGGUUGGCGAUAAGAUGGAGGCUCCAAAGUCAGAGACCUUCGCUGUGAAGUCACCAUCAAGGAGAAUGUUGGAUGACUUGACGUCCCCGUGGAGGAUUGGAGGCGAUGCCCAUGAGUGAAGGUAGGCCAAUGCUUCAGCAGACUGGUGAGCAAUCUGUAAACGCGUGGAUAUAGAGAUGUGCCUGCCGUGGCCAUCAUGAAUGAGAUGGAACAGUGUGCCAUUUGCGAUAAACUCAUACACCAAUAUUGGGACUUCCACUUCAAGGCAACAACCUAAUAGUUUGACAAUAUUUUUGUGGUUGACUUGGGAUAAGAUUACCAUUUCUUUACCAAAUUCUUUCUUUUGUUGCUCAUCGAUUGUCUUGCAUCUUUUGAUUGCUACUUCAGUGUUGCCGUUUAGAAAUCCCUUGUAAACGGUGCCAUGUCCUCCAUGACCUAGGAUUUUCUUUUCAUCGAAAUUAUUAGUGGCUUUCUGCAAUUCUUCUUCCGUAAAGAUUUUAAAUGCAGUACCCUUCAUCUCCUCAAAUAGCAGUCGACCUCCAUGCUGUCGAAAGUACUUCUGUUUUAUGCUGUGUAGCUUAUUUCUUUCUUGGAUGAGAUAUGCACACGUCACAAUAGUCACAAGGGUGACAACUCCAAUACUUCCACCUGCAUGGUUUCCAAAGUGAUGUUACUCCAAAAUGAUGAUUUGAAAGCAUUUCCGGGGUUUUCAACCUUAAAUUUUAAUGAACAUGAAUAAUAUGAUUGAUUCCUACUAUAUGUUCAGAUUGGUUUUACUGUAAUGCGCUAUUAUGUUCAAGAUUGGUGUCAAUGUACAAUUUCUCCUUUUUUUUUGAGACGCUGAAGAGUGUAACGGACCUAUGACAGGUAUAAUCCAAGAAGAGGAACUCUGCUUGCAAACACCGUCAAUCAGAUGUUUUCCUCGUUGACAUGUACAUGUGUAGCUCCCCUGCGUAUUUAUGCAAAUUCCCGUGCAUGGAUGAGCAUCUUGGCACUCGUCGAUAUCUGCCAAAAAAAGACUUAAAAAUAUAAUACUUUUUCUACAUCUCUUAAUUUGCAGGGGUAGAGGAAUCAAAAUGGCCGGAAAGGGACCUUCGCAUCCAUCCGUGAUGUAUGGGUUGCCCUUGUAUCCAUCAGAGCACUUGCAACGAUAACCGCGACCAUUGGUGGCAUCGACACAGUAACUGUUGCUACUAACACAAGCGUAGGAAGUUCUGUUCUCUUUUGCUUCCUCGCAUUUUUUCCAUUCAACUGUCCAAUCCAAGACAGUGGGAACCAUCCCCUUGUACGUAUCACUGAAUACUGUGGAGUCGACAUAAGUGGUACUAAAGUUGAAUGCUGAAGUUUCCAUGACUACCAUGUAGUUGCAAGGGCUGCUCCUCCAUAUUGCAGUGGUGUUGUAGUUUGCAUUGAAAUAACCUUGGUAAUACCGUAUGCCUUUCGGGAUAUCUGCCUGGCAGCAGCCAGCACCAGAGCAUGAGCCAUUCUUAAGGUCUACGUUGUCGCAUGUUGAUGAGCAACCGAUUACGUACUGCAUGGAUUGGCGGGUUAUAAACUGCAAAUAACAGCACGACCCCAUGAGAGUUUGCAAUUAUAUUUGUUAAAACAAGUGCUGCAAAACAGAUAGCUUUCUUAACAUAGUAGAACUAGGAUUAGUGUCUUCAACAUAGAGUUCAUUUGUGAUUCAUAUGGAAAUGGGCUCUAAGCCCUCUUUGGUUGUGGGCCUGUUCGGCAGCUGCACCUUGCAGCCGAACAUGCCCUGUAGUGAUAUAGUUGGCCGCACACAAAAUCCACCCAAUCAAGUUCUUUUUAUUUUUUUUGGGAGGGGGAAUUUCGACUUAUAUGUAUGUUAUGACAAGUCGAACUAGUUUUCACAUGUCAAACAUGUCUCAUUUGAAAAAUUAAGAUAUGCAAAGUUUUUUACAGAAAAAAAUUGAAUCCUAAUUUUACCUACAUUACCCUUACCCUUUGAAACAAGGAUAAAUGAUUGCACAUUUUUUGAAUCAAACGUCAAAAAACACAUAAAUAUCCAAUUUAGUUCCAGUCAAAAAAAAAACAUGCAUCGACAAUUAGAAAUGACCCAUCAAUAUAACAUAAUGAUUAUAUUAAGAAUUAGUAUAAGACCUUACAUGAGAAGUCAGAAAUUAUGAGAUGCAACUAGUGAACUAGAAUCUAUAGAAGUUGGCUUUCUCAACUUCUGACAAAUAGUUUAUUGAGUGAAUUGCACUUUGGCCUAGUUGAGUGAAUUGCACUUUGGCCCGGUUAUUAUUGCCUGUGUUUUAUUUUGGACUAGGUUAUAUCUAACGUUUUCACUUUGGUCCAGGUUUUCUUACCUUCUAUUGCACAUUGGACCACUUUUUUGUUUGCCACUCCUUGAUUUCAUUAGCGAGCUUACCCGCAACACAAUAAACCAAUCAAUAUUCCACCUGACCUUGAUUUCUUUACUCAUUGAUUUAGCUGCUUGAUUUCUACCAUUUUUCCCUUAAUUUAUCAUGUGAGCUUAGAACAAGUCACUGUAUUGAGCUUGCAAGCGACAGCUACAGCAGCCAGCUACCACCAGUCUUGAUUUUGCUGGUUCCUCAAGCUCGGAACAGAGCAGAGAGAGAAGGAAUCCUGGUACUUUGCUUGAUCAUCCCUCAGAUUCCAUAGCGCGGCUGCUUAAUAGAGAAAAGGAGGGAAGAUUGAUGGAGAAGAAGGGUGGUCCAAUUUAAAACUUUUGUAAAUUUAUCUAGUCCAAAGUGAUAAGAUAACUUUAUCCCUCGUCCAAAGUGAAACUUUGGUAAAAAUUCCUAGCCCAAAGUGUAAUUAACUCUACUUUAUUUUAUGGAUUCUAUAACUUUUGAGUGGCUGAGAAACACCAAGUACAGUGGGCUAGCUUGAAUGAGGUAAAGAUGCUCUGUUUUCGGAAUUGGGGUUGUGAGGUCAUGAUUUGCGAUUAAAAAGAAUAUCAACCUUUCCUAUUCCUUAAGAAACUGAUAAUGUAUAAAAUAUGCAAAAAUUACUUACCGAGGUACUGCGCAUGUAAGCUAGUGAGUUGCAACCAACAACGAUAAGUUUGUUGUCCUCGUUUGACAGCCAGUAAGGUGAAUAUCUGAAACUGUUCCAUAUGUCAUCGUACAAGGUUCUGUUUGUUUCUGGGUCGAAGCACUGGGAGGAUAUGUUCGUCUUCAUCCAUGCUUUUCCGUUGGGCACGGAGAUGUUGGUCACCUCGAUAUUGUGAAACAUAGGCCUCGCGGCGCCGUUCACGGACGUGCAGUUCAGCUGGAAGCCCCUGCUGUAGGCGCAGUCUGGCCUGUCUGGGUCGAUGAUGCCGAAAGGGUAGGGGAUGUCGACGUCGCCGCACCUUGUCCGGCAGCCCGGAGGCUGGCCACCGGCCGGAAUUGCGACGUCGGCCGCGGCAAGCGUAGCGAUGGCGCCAAGGUAGAGAAGAAGGCAUCCGGGAAGAAGAAGAAGCUGAUGACGCUCCAUAUGCUGCACUUGCUUGUCCGUACUCCUUAGGUAGCCGGUUUGUUGUGCGUUUUGGUUGGUGUGCUUGGGAAUUUCGGCAGCGGCCUCCUUAAAUAUGAUGGGUAGGAUAUGCUUGUGGCGAUGGAAAAAGAAUUCAGAGGGGGAUAAACUUGUCUCGCUCGUGAGAUUCUAGACUAAGUCCCAUUUUAAGUGUAAGUAUAAUUUUCUGCGUCCAAUUUUAAUCGUUCGUCUUAUUUAAAAAAAACUUUUGAAAAAAAAAAUUAAAAACAUAAGUUACGAGUAAAGUAUUAUUCCUAUUUUAUCAUCUCAUAAUAACAAAAUUACUAAUUAUAAAAAAAUUUUAAAUAAGACAGAUGAUCAAAAUUGGGCAAAAAAAAACUCAUUAUUAUACACAUGAACUUAAAAUGAGACAGAAGGAGUAAUAAAGAUCUCGAAAAAUGUAUAUUUGAUCAUAAAUAUAUUCCAAGAAUUAUGGACGACGACUUACUCCCGGGUCUUCACGUCGAAAAGAAAGAGUGCAUAUAUUUUUAUUUUUCAAAAUGUUUUUCCUCCAUCGUAAUCGAUCCUCCAGCUCUACUAACUACACAUAACAACGGAAGACUUCGAACGACUGACGUGACUUAAGCGCGUAGGCCAUGCGUGAUAGCAGCAUUGAGUGACAACCGCUUCAUCUCCCCUGUUGUCAUCCAUGUUAAUUCUAUCCUGCCACUGUAGCGAGAGGUCUUUACCUAUGUGCUAUUAAAAAAAAAAUGAUGCCUGCCUCUGUGUCACUAAAAAGUUCAAGUCUCCCUCUAUGCCAUCGUCGAACUUUAUCGCGCCCUCCACAUCAUUCCAUCUGUUUUUUUUCUAACAGUGGGUAACGGCGCAGCCAAAUGAGUUUGUUGCCCAUGGGGUUGCUUGGCGACCUCACCUGGCGCGUGGCGCAGCCGAUCGACCAGGCCGCGAUGGCCGGGUACGACGCCCUCGUCGCCGACGUCGAGGCGUCUCUUGCCCGCGCCUUCCGGAUGCUGCUCGAGGCCGUCGACCGCAAGAUCGACGGCGAGGUCGGCGCCACCCACGGGGAGCUCGCCGCGCUACUGGAGGAGAGCUGGAGCUUGAGGGCCAGCUCAAGCGGCUCGACGCCAGGGCCGAUGAGCUGAGCGAUGCGCGCCGGAUCCCGUCCGCGCCACGCCUGUCCUCCACCGCUGCCGCCCGCGCCGACUCCGCGGCGAGCGCGAACAUCGCCACCGCCCGCUCGAUCGCCAGCGCCGCGCCUGUCCUCCACCGCGCCCGCAGCCAAAUCGGCCCGCGUGAGUGCUGCCGCUGCGCACGGCCAGGCCGACUCCGCGGCGAGCUCCACCUCCACGGCCACGUCGCCCUGCACGACAGCCUUCUCUUCCACCGGCGCCGCCGUCCACCGAGCCGAGGCAGCGACACCGCCGGCUGCCUCCCCAUCCGGCGCCAGACCGCCUCCUGCCUGGCGCUCCGUCGACGGUGCUCCCCGGCCGUCUCCUCCUCCAUUUUGCCGAAGGGCCACCACGGCCGUCGGACCCGCAUCGCCCUCCCUCACCUUGACCCACGCUGCUGCAACCGUGCCGCCGCGCCAAGCACCAGGCGCCGCCGUGCCCGGCCGUCGCCGCGCCACCGCGCGCUGGCUGCCGCUGCUUGUGUGCGCUCGCGCGUGGGAGAAAGGGGGAAGGAGUGAGAGGAAGAAACCGGAGGAAUCGACCACCACCACCCCUCUCCGACGACGACACCACUGAGAGACGCAUGUAUGCCUCCCUGUCCUCCUCCAGGCUGCCGCCGCGCCGCCGCACUCAACCGCCCCCCCCCCCCCCUCUCUCUCUCUCUCUCUCUCGCACUCAAAAGAAGAAAGGGCAAUAGAGACAUUUUUUUCCGCCCGGCCUACAUGUCAGAGCUGCCAAACAGUUAAACCAAAACAGAAUAGCGACGGAAUGGUGUGGAGGGCGUAAUAAAGUUCGACGAUGACAUAGAGGGAGGCUCGAACUUUUUAUUGGUAGAUAGACAUGCUCCAUCUUUUUUAAUGGCACAUAGGGAAAAACCUCCGCAGGCGAACUACUGUGAGCUAGCCUAGCUACUGGUCUCAGCAGUGUGUACAACAGUACAAGGAAAUUUACAGCGACCUGAUAAGUGAAUAAACUUGAUCCGUUCAAUUUGUGUGGCCGAUAGUCUAACUGUACCAAUCGGCCACUGUUCACAUCACAAUGGCCCUGCUUUAAUCCAAGAAAAAAUUUGAGUAAAAACAGGCCGCGUUCACCUGAGAAAACCUGGCCUCGUCCAUAUCACACAAUUUCUCGGCAACCAGAACUGUCACAAGGUCGGUCUUUUCUAGUGACAGUUCUGGUUCUCUUCGCUCCGCUCAGUAUCAUGGAAGACUCGACUGUUUCACAGCCCACAGGGUCCUGUGACUUCGAACGGUGAAUUCCGCGUGAUGCUCUGUUGCGUGCAAGACUACAAAUGUACAUUUUCCAUUGCGAGCUUUAGCUCUAUUAUUUUCGGUUAAGAUUCAGAUUUUACUUCGAUUGCAUACUAAAGUUACUAAACGGUGUAUUCUCUGCCUUUCUGUUUAGAAGGUACUUUAAAAUAUCAAAUAUAUUUAUCAAGUUUGUAAUAAUUAAAACUUAGUUAAUGACUUUCUCGUUUCGUGCGUGUCAACUUAAUUUUUAUUUUCAUCCGCUUCAAACACAGCUUUUAUAAUUAAAACACAGCAUUGACAACUUAAUUUUUAGAGAUGGAAUUGCUGAAAAAUGUCCGGACCAAACGCAGCUUUUGUCAAUGCGCAACCGAGUACGAUGAGACAACAUUUUUUGGGUUUAGAAGUUGGUUAGGAUAGGUUGCAAGAUGCAUGGGUCAGCAUAUCUUGCAAGGUUUGGUCAAGAAAAUGCUGAAACCAAGUGUACCAUAGGCAAUUACCACACGGUAGACAGAAUCACAUAUAAAUCAGUGGGGAAAAUAGUACAGCGAUAGAAAAUUAACUUGACUUCGUAUGAUUUGCUUCUUAUUCUCAUAUAUGAUGAAACAUAGUCCCAUAAAGACUAAAGGUGUACACAAACAAUAUUUUUUUAUUUUUACACAAAAUUUUUUUAAUAAUGAACAUAACUGAGUCUGAAUUUCUAGGGUAAGUGAAAACUAUGAUACAAUAUGACGCGGUAUGAUAUGGUGAUAUGAUGUAUGCUGGGUAGCAAAGAGAUUCCAGCUUAACGCCCUGAUGCUAGGUCCUUGACAACUUUCUUCUCGAUGCUGAAAUUUCCUGUACUCGAGGCUCCUGAGCUUAUAAUGUAAGAAGAUUCUCCAAGCAAGCUCUCCAACUCUUCAGGAUUUUGUUGCGUCCAUGGGUGUUGCAUUACCUUAACCAGCCUAUCGAGCUUCUCCGCAACUUUCUUCAUGGAUGGUCUAUCCUCACCACACAUUGCCAAGCAUUGCUUUGCUAAAUCUACAACUUCUUCGAGAAACUCCAUGUUCUCUUCAUUGCUAAUUUGAUCGUCCAAUAUAUUCUCAAGCUUGUUCUCCUUCAUAGCUGAGAGAAACCUCAUUGACAAACUUUUCUCAUUUCCAGGAGCAUCAAGGUUGAAAACGUUCUUCCUUGUGAGCAGUUCUAGAAGAACAACUCCAAAGCUGUAAACGUCACUCUUAUCUGUUAAUUCACAUGUUUGCAUAUACUCUGGAUCAAGGUAACCCCAAGUCCCUUGGACUAGCGUGACAAGCUGUGACUUGUCUAGUGGAGCUAAGAUGGAAGCACCAAAGUCGGAGACUUUUGCCAUGAAGUUAACAUCGAGGAGGAUGUUGGAGGACUUGACAUCACCAUGGAUGAUGGGUGGUGAAGCGUAGGAGUGGAGGUAGGCUAGUGCCUCAGCUGAUUCAUGGGCGAUCCGUAGACGAGUAACUAGAGAAAUGUGUUGGCCAUGGUUGCCAUGGAUGAGAUUGGAUAGCGUUCCAUUUGGGAUAAAUUCAUAUACUAGCAUAGGAACUUGUACUUCAAGGCAACAUCCUAAUAGUUUAACAAUGUUUAUGUGGUUUAUUUAGGAUAGGAUUAGCAUUUCUUUACCAAAUUCUUUCUUGUGUUGCUCAUCCAUUGUCAUGCAUUUCUUGACAGCUAUUUUAGUGUUGUCCUUGAGAAGUCCCUUGUAAACAGUGCCAUGACCACCAUGGCCAAGAAUUUGGUUUUUGUCAAACUUGUUUGUAGCAUGCUGCAACUCUGCUUCUGAGAAAAUUGUAAAUGAUUUCCUUUCAUUUGAAUUCAUCUCUUGAAACAGCAGUAGACCACCGUGUAGCUUAAAAUAUUUCUGCUUGAUGUGUUGCAGCUUUCUUCUCUCGCGGAUCAAGUACGAACAAGUUGCCAUGAUCACAAGUAUGACAAAUCCAACACUUGCCCCUGGUUGCCGAAUAUAAAUUUGUCAGCCAAUAACAAUACUAGGACAAACGACGACUUGACUUAGAAAAGCAAGCGUUGUAGUACGUACCAAUGCACUAAUAAGAUAAUCAAUAUGUAAAUAUAUAUAUAUUAGCAAAGAAUAUCUACUGCUAGUUGUAGUACGUACCUACAACAGGCAUCACCCAAGCUUGGGACUUCUGAAUCUUCUGAUCUGGAACACAGACACCCCGAGCCAGCUCAUUUUGUCCUUGAGGGCAAGAACAUUUGUAACUCCCGAUUGUAUUUUCACAAAUUCCAGCGCAUGGAUAAGUAGUGUUAUCAAGACAUUCAUUGAUAUCUGAAACAAAGCAAACUUUCGUGAAUAUAAGUUCUUAUUGUAUACUUUGCUGAAUAGAGAGAGGGAGAGAGAGAGAGAGACAGAGAGACCUCUGCAUCCAAGAAGACCGUCCUUGACGUAAGGAUUGCCAUCGAACCCCUUGGAGCACUUGCAGCGAUAACCUCUCCCAUUCGUUGAAUUGAGGCAUUCGCUAUUGUUGCUAACACAAGCAUAUGAACUCAUGUUCGUUUUCGCUUCCUCGCAUGUCUCCCAUGUAAUUAUCCAGUCCAUCACGGCCGGAACAGUCCCGUUGUAGUCAUCCCAGAAGUUUGUUGAGGGAAUGUAAGUGGUGCUAUAGUUCAAAACUAGAAGUCCAGCCACUCACUUACACAGCCUUUUCCAUCACUACCACGUAGCCACAACUGCUGUAGCUGAUUUCUGAGGAGUUAUAGUCUUUAUUGAAGUAAGCCUCAAGAUAACCCAGGUCUGGCGGGACAUCCACCGAACAACAGCCAGCGCCAGAGCAAGAACCAUUUUUUGGUUGAUCGGAGCAUGUGGACAAGCAACCUAUGACAUACUGCAUAAGUCACAGAUGUUAAUUUGUAUCUAUGACGUUAAAUUAAAUGAGAUUAUGUAACGAUCAGUACUGAGCGCCUAGUAUAUUAAUAUAAGCAAAAUGUCGUCAAAGCAUAAAUAUGAGGAGAUACUUACGGAAACACCUCUCAUGUAGGCCAUUGUAUUGCAACCGAUGAUGAAAAUCUUGUUAUCCUCGUAUGAGAACCUGAAGGGCAUGUAGGUGAAGUUUUGGAAAUCCACCCAUUCCUUCAUUUUGCUCGAGGCCGAGUCAUAGCACUACCAAGAGAUCCGCAUCUUCAUCCAGGCUUUGGCAUCGCGCACAGAGAUUUUCGUCACCUCAAACGACCCCUUGAAAGGCCUCUUGGUGCCGUUGACAGGCUUGCAGAUGAUGUUGAAGCCAUGGUGGAUUGCGCAGUGAUCGCCGAUGCCGAAGGGGAACGGGAUGUCGACGUCCCCGCACCUCGUCUGGCAGCCUGGGUGUCCAGCCACGGGGACGUCGGCGGCUACCAUCCCGAUGGCUGAAACGCAGAUCAGAAGAAUGGUGGAGGGAAGAGGCUUAGUCAUUGCGUGUGUGUGUGGAGACUGGAGGAGACAGGAGAGUGUGUGCUUUGCUGGGGCGUGACGCGGUGUGUGUUAAAUAGAGAUAUCCGCUUUACUGUCCCUGGGCAGCUUGCCCUGCAGUAUGUGAUUAAUAAAAGCUGGUGGUUGAUUAUUGAUCAUUCCCGAUAUGAUACUUUCGUCCAUGUAUAUAAAUAAUUUUACCCUUUUAUUUUUUUGGGAUUUUGUAAUCUUAAGAUAGUAUUUUAUUUUCCCAUCUAUCAACUUGUGUAAUAGUUUAUUCUUUACCUAUCAACUUUUGUCUUAUUUUAUCCUUCCACCUAUCACCUUUUAUACUAUGGCAUAUCCUUUUGCUACUUCUUUAAAAAAAAUUUAAAUGACAUAAUUCCUUAUAGCUAGGCACACGCACGAGGAAUUAAAGUCUGUUGUCAUGUACUCUCCAUUCUAAAAUAUAUUUUUUUAACAGAAACCACACGAGAUUACGCUUUUUCAUUAAAUAUAGCAGGAGAAAAAUACAACCCCUAAAGGCAAACAUUCUAAAAUAUAUUAAACUAGUAUUAGAUUUGAUAUAAUUUAAUUCUAUAAAUCUAAACUAGCAUGAUAGUAUCAUUAUAUUUUCUCUCAUAUAAUAGCAUAUAUAUUUUCUUAUUAUAUUAUUCAAAUAUAUUAAAAUAAUAACAUAAUUUUAAAUUUUGCAAUAACUUUACGAAACUACUAAUGUUAAUGUGUAAUAUUCAUAUAGUAUUUUAUAUAUGUGUUAGUUCUUAAUUAUUUUUAAUAUCAAAUUUUAAUUAUUUGUAAAUUAUAUAUAUUCCUACAUUGACUCUAGACUCGUCUAUUAAUAUUUCUUUUUUUUAAUUUUAAAUUUUCUGUAAAUUGUAUUUCUAUAUAUAGACUCUAGGCUCUUCUUCCAAUAUUAUUUAUUUUUAUUUCUGAUUUUUUAUUAUUUCUAAUUGUAUUUCUAUGUGGACUCUAUACUCAUCUUUUAAUAUUCUUUAAUUUUGAAUUUUGAAUUUCAGUUACUUCUAAAUUGUAUUCCUAUAUUAACUUUAAACUCUUCUUCCCAUGUUUUUCUUAAUUUCAAAUUUUAGUUAUUUGUAAAUUAUAUUUUUAUACGGACUCUAAACUCUACUUUAAUUUUAUUAUGUUUAUUUCAAAUUUUAGUUAGUUUUAAAUUCCUAUAUGGACUCUAUACUCUACUUCUAAUAUUCCUUAUUUUUUAAUUCCGAAUUUCUUUUUUUUUCUUAAUUGUAUUUCUAUAUGGAUUCUAUACUCUACUUCUAAUAUUCCUUAUUUUUAAUUCCGAAUUUCUAUUAUUUCCUAAUUGUAUUUCUAUAUGAACUCUAUACUCUACUUCUAAUAUUCCUUAUUUUUUAUUCCGAAUUUCAGUUAUUUCCUAAUUGUAUUUCUAUAUGGACUCUAGUCUCCUAUUCUAAUAUUCUUUAUUUUUAAAUUCCGAAUUUCAACUAUUUCUAAAUUUUAUUUCUAUAUGGACUCUAGUAUCCUCUUCUAAUAUUCAUUAUUUUUUAAUUCUGAAUUUCAGCUAUUUCUAAAUUAUAUUUAUAUAUGGACACUGUUUUUUCUUUUUCUUUGAUUAAUGUGAGAAUUUCUAGACCAUGAGAGCGAACGUGGAGACUCAUUUUUCUAUGCCUUUAAUAAUAUAAUAGAUAGGUUCUUGUUCAAUUUCAUACUACUAAAAUAUGUCUUUUAUCCCGAUUGCUAUAUUUUAUAAUACGUGGCGUCUAAAGGAUUCAGGAUGGUCCAUCAACGAAAUACUCGCCCUCGCCCAUGCACGCUUUACUCAGUCAGCCGGUCAGCUUAGUAUAUGUCGCUCUAAUUGGCUGGAUUAACUCUAGGGUCCCAGGGAGACUUGCCAAGUCAAUGCCGCUGUUGUUGAGCUCAGAGCAUAUCAGAGCAACUAGCUAGCUGGAGUAGCUUCCAAGAGGUACAGUAGCAGUCGGUCCACGAUUGUGGAGACUGAUGAAUGAGUCCAAGUCUUGUGUGACUGAGACAGUGAGACGUGUGAUUCCCCCGGAACAAGUUGGAGGUUGGAGUAGACAAGUGUUGCACCAGCUAAAAAGACUAUUUUUUGUCUUGCUCGUAUUAGGGCCUGAUUAGUUUAAAAAAAAAUUUUCACGCUGUUAUAUCGAAUAUUUGGAUACAUUUAUAGAGUAUUAAAUGUAAAAAAAAAAUAAUUACACAGUUCGCCAGGAGAUUGCGAGACGAAUCUUUCAAGCCUAAUUGCACUAUAAUUUGACAAUAUGGUACUAUAUUAAAUAUUACUAAUGACAGAAUAAUUAGGCUUAACAAAUUCGUCUCGCAGUUUCCUGGUGGAAUCUAUAAUUUAUUUUGUUAUUAGAUUACGUUUAAUACUUUAAAUGUCUGUCCGUAUAUCUGAUGUGACAUGUAGGGCAAAUUUUUUUUCUAACUAAACAAGCCCUUAAUCCUCUGUCUAGCCAUCCCGUUGAUAUAUAUAUUUUUCUAAACUUAAGCCCUUAAACAAGCCCUUAACUCCGGAUCCCAAACUUUUUUUUCUAUUUUUCUAGAGCAAAGUACACGGCCGGUCCUUAAAGUUGGAACGAGGUGUCACUUAGGUCCAUGAUCUAGGAAAAUCGUCAUUCGGGUCCGCGGUCUUGUUUAAGUGAAUCAUUUAGGUCCAAAGCGCCUUUGAUUGGAUUGACUGGCUUACGUGACCGUCCACGGUGGCAGCAUGUUUGCAUUUUAGCCCCCCUCCCAUCUUGGCUCCCCCUGUCUCUAUCUCAUUUCUCUAUCUCCACAUGUUGUCAGUUGCUGACCACCACGCGUGCAUGCAUGAGCCACUAGCUGCACCCGCCGAACACCCCGGAGCCGUCGCCUGCACCCGCGUUGUGCGUGUCCUGGGAGAAACCGAGCACGGUCUGAGCUUGUUGUUGCUCCUGCUGUGGCGGUGGCGGCAUGCGGAACUCGCCGAGAUGGAACCCCACGGCUGCAUACUCCGCCGGCAUCCCUAGCGGCCCCAUCUGAGGCAGAGGAACGUAGCAGCCAAUGCUCCUCAGCAACUCCAUCGCCGAGAACACGCACCCACGCUGCCCCUGCCACCAACGCCGUUCGCCACCGCCAUGUUGCCUCCGGGGUUGCACAUGUUGCUACUCUCCAAGCUCGGGAACGCUGUGAACUCCGGCGACUGCAGGGCGCGGCCGUGGUGAUGCGGGAACGCCAGGUUGAGGUCCUACGCGCCCUUGUGCAUCGACUUCAGGUUCUUAGCCGCCAGCCCCACGGGGACCGAGCUAGACACCGUCGCGGAGGUGGAGGCCGACGCGGCCGCUGAUGACACCAUGAGGACGACGAACGCUUGUUCUCCCUUACCGUUGCCGCCGUACGCGCCUCCCUCAUCGUCGUUGUCGUCCUCGCGGCCGCCGCCACAUCUACACCGCCACCCAAUCGCCGUUGCAAUCGCUAACCCUAGAAAUCACACAGGAGGAGCCGAGGAGGAUUUGGGGGAGAAUGGUUGGAUCGUAUAUGGGAGAGCCAAGAUGCGGGGGGCUAAAAUGCAAAUAUGCUAUCACCGUGGACGGCCACGUAAGCCAGUCAACCUGGUCAAAGGCGCUUUGGACCUAAAUGAUUCACUUAAACAAGAUCACGGACCCAAAUGACGAUUUUCCUAGAUUAUGGACCUAAGUGACACAUCGCUCCAACUUUAAGGACCGGCCGUGUACUUUACUCAUUUUUCUAUAAGUAAAUUGCGACGGAUGGAUAUGAUUUAGAACAACAACUUGAAAUUCGAACUAACUGGUGCAGUAACUUUCUUGGUUUGUGACAGUUUGUGUGGGUUUUUAAUCCAAAUGAGUGCCACGUCGACAAUCCAGUUAUUAUAGCUAGAGAGUGUGCUCCCAUGGGAAAGGAAAAAGUACACCGAAGGUCCCUCAACUUAUUAUCGGGAUAAAAAACGUCCUCGAACCGCAAAACCAGAUAUGCCCAAUUUUAAUCGUUCGUCUUAUUUAAAAAAACUUUUAAAAAAAUUUAAAAACAUAAGUCAGUAAUGAGUAAAGUAUUCUUCAUGUUUUAUCAUCUCAUAACAACAAAAAUACUAAUUAUAAAAAAAUUUCAAAUAAUACGAACGAUCAAAGUUAGGCAAAAAAAACUUAUCGUUGUACUUAAAAUAGGACAUAAAAUAGGGCAGAGGGAAUAAGAUCUCAGAAAGUGUAUAUUUGAUCAUAAAUGAAGUAUAUCCCAAGAAUUAUGGACGACGACUGACUCCCGGGUCUUUACGUCGAAAAGAAAGAGUGCAUAUACCUUUUUUUUUUUCAAAAUGUUUUUCCUCCAUCGUAAUCGAUCUCCAGCUCUAUUAACUACACAUAGCAACGGAAGACUUCGAACGACUGACGUAACUUGGCAGUCAUGCGUGAUAGCAGCAUUGAUAAGUGAAUAAACUUGAUCCGUUAAAUUUGUGUGGCUGAUAGUCUAACUGUACCAAUCGGCCACCGUUCACAUCACAUUGGCCCUGCUUUAAUCCAAGAAAUUGAGUAAAAACAGGCUGCGUUCACCUGAGAAAACCUGGCCUCGUCCAUAUCACACAAUUUCUCGGCGACCUGGCGAGCGAUGUUUAUGGGUCUUGGGUACAAUUGGGGGGCUUCACAGGGUCGGUCUUCUCUAAUGACAGUUCUGGUUCUCUUCGCUCCGCUCAGUAUCAUGGAAGACUUGACUGUUUCACAGCCCACAGGGUCUUGUAACUUCGAACGGUGAAUUCCGCGUGAUGCUCCGUUGCGUGCAAAACUACAAAGGUACAUUUUCCAUUGCGAGCUGUAGCUCUAUUAUUUUCGGUUAAGAUUCAGAUUUUACUGUAUUAUGUGCCUUUCUAUUUAGAAGUUACUUUAAAAUAUCAAAUAUAUUUAUCAAGUUUGUAAUAAUUAAAACUUAGUUAAUGACUUUCUCGUUUUGUGCGUGUCAACUUAAUUUUUAUUUUCAUCCGCUUCAAACACAGCUUUUAUAAUUAAAACACAGCAUUGACAACUUAAUUUUUACAUAUCGAAUUGCUGAAAAUGUCCGGACCAAACGCAGCUUUUGUCAAUGCGCAACCGAGUACGAUGAGACAACAUUUUUUGGGUUUAGAAGUUGGUUAGGAUGGGUUGCAAGAUGCAUGGGUCAGCAUAUCUUGUAAGGUUUGGUCAAGAAAAUGCUGAAACCAAGUGUACCAUAGGCAAUUACCACACGGUAGACAGAAUCACAUAAAUCGGUGGGGAAAAUAGUACAGUGAUAGAACAUUAACUUGACUUCGUAUGAUUGCUUCUUAUUCUCAUAUAUGAUGAAACACAGUCCCAUAAAGACUAAAGGUGUACACAAACAAUAUUUUUUUAUUUUUACACAAAAAAUAAUUAAUAAUGAACAUAACUGAGUCUGAAUUUCUAGGGUAAGUGAAAACUAUGAUACAAUACGACGCGGUACGACAUGGUGAUAUGAUGUAUGCUGGGUGGCAAAGAGAUUCCAGCUUAACGCCCUGAUGCUAGGUCCUUGACAACUUUCUUCUCGAUGCUGAAAUUUCUUGUACUCAAGGCUCCUGAGCUUAUAAUGUAAGAAGAUUCUCCAAGCAAGCUCUCCAAUUCUUCAGGAUUUUGUUGCGUCCAUGGGUGUUGCAUUACCUUAAUCAACCUAUCGAGCUUCUCCGCAACUUCCUUCAUGGAUGGUCUAUCCUCACCACACAUUGCCAAGCAUUGCUUUGCUAAAUCCGCAACUUCUUCAAGAAACUCCAUAUUCUCGUUAUUGCUAAUUUGAUCGUCUAAUAUAUUCUCAAGUUUGUUCUCCUUCAUAGCAGAGAGAAACCUCAUUGACAAACUUUUCUCAUUUUCAGGAGCAUCAAGGUUGAAAACGUUCUUCCUUGUGAGCAGUUCUAUAAGAUCCAAAGCUGUAAACGUCACUCUUAUCUGUUAACUCACAUGUUUGCAUAUACUCUGGAUCAAGAUAACCCCAAGUCCCUUGGACUAGCGUGACAAGUUGUGACUUGUUUAUUGGAGCUAAGAUGGAAGCACCAAAGUCGGAGACUUUUGCCAUGAAGUUAACAUCGAGGAGGAUGUUGGAGGACUUGACAUCACCAUGGAUGAUGGGUGGUGAAGCGUAGGAGUGGAGGUAGGCUAGUGCCUCAGCGGACUCAUGGGCGAUCCGCAGACGAGUAACUGGAGAAAUGUUCUGGCCAUGGUUGCCAUGGAUGAGAUUACAUAGUGUUCCAUUUGGGAUGAACUCGUACACUAGCAUAGGAACUUGUACUUCAAGGCAACAUCCCAGUAGUUUAACAAUGUUUAUGUGGUUUAUUUGGGAUAGGAUUAGCAUUUCUUUACCGAAUUCUUUCUUGUGUUGCUCAUCCAUUGUCAUGCAUUUCUUGACAGCUAUUUCAGUGUUGUCCUUGAGAAGUCCCUUGUAAACAGUGCCAUGACCUCCAUGGCCAAGAAUUUGGUUUUUGUCAAACUUGUUUGUAGCAUGCUGCAACUCUGCUUCUGAGAAAAUUGUAAAUGAUUUCCUUUCAUUUGAAUUCAUCUCUUGAAACAGCAGUAGACCACCGUGUAACUUAAAGUAUUUCUGCUUGAUGUGUUGCAGCUUUCUUCUCUCGUGGAUCAGGUACGAACAAGUUGCUAUGAUAACAAGUAUGACAAACCCAACACUUGCACCUAGUUGCCGAAUAUAAUUUGUUAGCCAACAACAAUACUAGGACGAACAGAUGACCACUUAACAUUUAAAAGUAAGUGAAUCUCAAUAUUACAACUAAUGCACUAAUAAGAUAAUCAAUAUGUAAAUCUUAGCAAAAAUAUUAAUCUUGCUAGACGUACAUACCUACAACAGGCAUCUCCCAAGAGGACUUCUGAUUCUUCUGAUCUGGAACACAGACAUCCUCCACCUUAUGUUGUCCUUGAUGGCAUGAACAGUCGUAACCCCCCAUCGUAUUUUGACAAAGUCCAGCGCAUGGAUAAGUAGUAUUAUCAAGACAUUCGUUGAUAUCUGAAACAAAACAAAAAUGUAUAUGUUAUUGAGUAAAAGUUUUAAGUGUAUAUAUACACAAAUCGAUCAUUUAGGAGGUGGAGGAUAGAAGUAGCUAGACCUUUGCAUCCAUCCUUGAUGUAAGGAUUGCCGUCGAACCCCUUGGAGCACUUGCAGAGAUAACCAUGCCCAUUCGUUGAAUUAUGGCAGUCGCUAUUGUCGCUAACACAUGCAUAUGAACUCAUGUCCCUUUUCGCUUCCUCGCAUGUCUCCCUUCUGAUUACCCAGUCCAUCACAGCCGGAACAGUCCCGUUGUAGUCAUUCCAGAAGUUUAUUGAGGGAAUGUAAGUGGUGCUAUACCUGAAAGCAGCCUUUUCCAUUACUACCAGGUAGCCGCACCUGCUGUAGUUCCAGAUUUGAGAGGUGUUAUAAUCUUUAUUGAAAUAAGCCUCGACAUAGCCUAGGUCUGGUGGGACAUCCACCGAACAACAGCCAGCGCCAGAGCAAGAACCAUUUGUUGGUUCAUCCGAGCAUGUGGAUAAGCAACCUAUGACAUACUGCAUAAUUAAGUCACAGAUGUUAAUUAAUUAGCUUAGUGUAAAAAAUCAGCUUAUCUUGUGAUCUACGAAUUGAGAUUGAAAUUAUGUAACGAUCUGGAAGCAUAGUCACUUAACAUAAGCAAAAUAGAUACAAGUAUUUGUUAAAAUUUCCAAUUUUGACGUCAAAAAGGUUGAAAGCAUAAACAUAAAUAAAGGAAAUACUUACCGAAACACCUCUCAUGUAGGCCAUUGUAUUGCACCCGAUGACGAAAAUCUUGUUAUCCUCGUAUGAGAAUCGAUAGGGCGUGUUGGUGAAGUUCUGCCCAACCAUCGAAUCAUUCAUCUGUUUUGUGACCGGGUCAUAGCACUGCCAAGAGAUUCCCAUCUUCAUCCAGGCUUUGGCGUCCGGCACAGAGAUCUUAGUCACCUCGAACGGCCCAAUGAAUGUCCUAUAAGUGCCGCUGUCGUUCUUGCAGUCGAGGCCGAAACCACCGUGGAUCGCGCACUGAUCGCCGAUGCCAAACGGGAACGGGAUGUCGAGGUUGCCGCACCUCGUCUGGCAGCCUCGGCGUCCUGCCGGGACGUCGGCCGCGGCUACCACCCAGAUGGCUGAAAUGCAGAUCAAAAGAGCGGAGAGAAGAAGCUUAGCCAUUUCGUUGUCUGUGUGGUUUGUACUGUACAUGUUCUGAAUUCUCUGGGCUGCGUGUUAAAUAGAGACAUACGCUGCCCCUUGCUAGCUAUAUCGACGUUGACGAUUGAGAGUACCUGACCAAUGCCGAUAGACCGCGAGGUCGCUCACAAUCACAUCACAUGGGACACCGCAUUAUCAGAACUAUUCGUGGCCAGACGCCCAGACUCGGUCCCAGCCGAGCCCAUUCGUGGACGUUGACGACGACGUGGUGUAUUUACGCACAUAAAGCAGGGUCGUUUCCGCUAAUUUCCGUCGCUACGCACGUCCGUGAAAACGCGAACCGAUCGAUCAAGCGGGUAGCAAGACUUGCAGCAUAGGAACAGGUGCAUCGCGCAUCAUCGAAAGGACGGAGUUUCAGCUAGCUUGCCUAGUUGCCUCUCGGGCACUACGCUUCUCAGUAAUUAGCCGAUCAGCUCUACCGCUCAACAAAUCUCCCUCGAUUUGGCUUGGAUUAACUCUUCGUUCCUAGGGACUAGGGAGACUUAUAAUACCAAGUCAAUGCCGGUUGUUGAGAUGAGAGCUAGCUAGCUUCCAAGAGGUCCCGUAGCCAUCAGCUAGCUCAGGCCAUCUCCGGUGUGCUAAAAAAAAAUCGAACCAUAGGACUAAAAUGUCAACGAAAUUGCUAGAAAACUUCAGCAAAUACUUCCAAAACUUUCAGAGUUAUAGCUAUCGGAUUGCCUCGAGAUUUGUGCAUAAAAAGAAAAAUAUUGCUAGAAACACUACUACACAAAGACAUAGUUUUAUAGGUGCCGGAAGUGUAUACUACAAAAUUUAUAUGUAAAUACAUACGUAUGGUAUAUUAGACUACACACUAGAGGGACUAGAGGGGGUACGUCGCGCGGUACCUGGGGCAUGCGCCCAGGCGCGCAAUAACAAGCUCCUCGACAAUACAGUUAUUACAGAUGGCAAGCGUGUGCUCUACAUAUGCCAAAUGGGCCGCUAGGCCUGGGCCUGGGCCGAGAUUAGUCGGGCUUACACGGCCUAACCUACACGUUGGGCUGCCCCGGACCUACCCACUUGUUGCACCAUCGGCAAAGGUACGACCCAAUAAGACUCGGGCCGUGCCGGGCCGGCCCAAAGGCACGAAAGCGCAUCGUGCUUCUCCUUAGAAAAAAAGUCUAUUUUGCCUCCUCCCCCAUCUCUUUGGUCUGCCUCUUAUAUGGCCUUAAUAAGUCUAUUUUUUGCAUCCCUCAUCUUUUUGGGCUGUGACUUACAUCGCGAGAAUAAGUCUGUUUUGACUUCCUCAUCUAUUUAACUCUCUGAUCGUUGAAUUGGGCCAUGCCGGGCCAACCCAUCGAGCCGAGGCAAAGGGCCAAGCACAAUCCAAAGGUUGGGCCAAGCCAAAACCCCGUCCCAUGGGUCGGACCGUCGUGCCUCGGCCCUUUUGGCCAACUUGUGCUCCUAUAGGAAAGGAAUAAGUUCAACCUGGUCCCUUAACUUUACACUUAAUCCGAUUUUCAACCUUAAACCCAAAAACCAGAUACAACUGGCCCUGAAUUGUCAAAACAGGUGCAAACGAGAUCCCUCGGUGGUUUGGAAAGCGCUUUUGGCUGACGUGGCACCUACGUGGUUAGUUUGACUAGAUCUUUGUCCCACGUGGCAAUUCGAUCAGAAAAAUAAAAAACUACGGGCCCACACGUCAGCUCCACACACAAAAUAAUUAAAGAUAGUGGGGCCCACGUGGGCCCCACAUGUCAUCCUCACUCCUUUCUUCCCUCUUCCCUCUCUUUCUUCCUUAUCCUCACGUUUCAUCUCUUUUGGGGAGAGGCGGGCAACAACCUCGGCGAGCGAGGCUAGCGGCAGGUGGAGUGAACCGACAGCGGUGACACCCUCGCCGCCGCCUUCCUCUCCAACGGGUCGUCGUCCUCCGCGGCCUCCGUGGUGGUGACCGUGGCUUCUCACGCUGCUGGCCCAGGAGCUGCAGGAGUCGGAGCGCCCCGACCGCAGGCUCCGCCGACGAGGACGACAACUCCAGUGCCAUCGCCGCCGCGCGCGCCAAGAACGCGCCGCCCUCCAUCGCCGCCACGCUCGAGACGGAGAUGGAGUUCGACGGCGGCGACGGUGGUAUUAAGGGCACGGAUGCGACUGACGCAGCCUGACAGCUUCUUGCGCUUCCCGUUGCCAGCGCGAGCAGGUGCGCGCGGAGACGUCAGUGAGUAGCAGCGGUGGCAUCGGCGGAAGCGUCGGUCCAAUCCGACGCAAGGGUGUCGAUGAGGGAGGCGAGGCCGGGGCUGAGAUCGUUAGGGGAGGCGGAGGUCGCAGAAGCCGUCGGAGCAAUGUAGAGAAGGGGGAGCCCUGUCGCGGGCGUGCCAGCGGGCCACGCUAAGGGAGCCGGAGGUGGACAUGGCUGCAGGUGGCGAUGGAAUUGGUGAAGACCUGGGCUGCGUGAUGAAGUUGGCGGUGGUGUGCUCGUCCUCUAGAUCGGGCGGCGAAAUCAACAGCCGGCGAGGGGCUGCCAGAUCCGCCCGCGACGGAUUGAGGUCAAGGUCGGGGGUUCUUGGGCAGUAGUGACUCGGCACUGGCGGCGAGCCGUCUCACAAAUGAGAAGAUGGGGAGGAGAUAGAGAAAGGAGGGGAUUAGGUGGGGAAAUGGGACCCACUGUCAUGUGGUCCCACUAUUAUUUAAUCUUAUUAUUUGACCGACAUGAGGUCCAACAUUUUUUUAUUUUUUAAAUUGUUAAAUUUUGCUUUAUAUGCCACGUCAGAUGAAAACCGAGUCAAAUUAGCCACGCAAGGGCCACGUCAGCUGAAACUGCCAUCCAAAUCGUCUUGGGUCUUAUUUUGUGCUGGUUUUGACAGUUGAGAGACCCGUUGUAUCUGGUUUUCCGGUUGAAGAAUGAAAAUCAGAUUCGUUGACAAGUUAAGGGACCUCAUAUGAACUUAUUCCCAUAGAAAAUUAGUCUACGGAAAAAGUAUACUUUGACUCCCUUAACUAUCGCUCGAGUAUGAUUCAUGACCUCCAACCACAAAACCGGGUAUAUUGACUCCGCCAAUUAUCAAAACCGGUGCAAACAAUGUCCCACGGUGGUUUUAGAGGUGGUUUUUGCUGACGUGACGCCCACAUGGCAGUCUUGACCGAGUUUUUGUCCUACGUGGUGCUUACGUGGUAUUAGAAUAAAAACAAAAUCAAAAAAAUAUGUGGGAGCCAUAUAUCAUUCACACAAAAGAAAAGUAUUGUGGGACCCACAUGUCAUCCUCCCUCUCCUUUCCUUCUUCCUCCCCUCUCUCUCCCUUAUCUCUCUCUCUCUCCCCCGGCCUUUCUCUUGGCUGGAGCGGCGGUGGCGGCGGUUGGAAGCGGCGGUGGCGGUGGGGGCAUCGGAAGAGCUUAACGGAUUCUUGCGGGAUGUUGGCCUUGCCGUAGGCGGCGAUAAGGGUGGCGACGGUGGCCUCCUCGGGGGCAAUGGAGAAGGAGGGCAUGGUGUCGAGGAGGAGGCAGCGGGCGUGGUUGAGCAUGCGGUGGGAGGCGACGAUCGGGAUGAGGAGGGCGAAGGUGGACGGCUCGGGGUUGAAGCCGGCGCGGCGGUAGGCGAAGCGGAAGAACUAGAAGACGAGGUCGACGCGGCCAGCGGCGGCGGCCCCAGAGAUGACGCGCGUGGACGAGCGUCGGGGAGAGCAGGCGGAUGGAGUUCUCGAGGCGGCGAGCCUCAUCCCCACCGCCACCGCGACCGCCGCCGCCGCCGCUUCCCACCGCCACCGCUCCCCUCCGCCUCGUUCCCAUCGGCCAUCGCCACCGCCGUCGCUCUUGAGGGAGAGAGAGAUAAGGGAGGGAGAGAGAGAUAAGGGAGAGAGAGGGAGGAUGACAUGUGGGUCCCACUUUUUGUGUGUGUGUGUGAAUGACAUAUGGGUCCCACAUAUUUUUUUAUUUUUAUUUUUAUUUUGAUGCCACGUAAGCGCCACGUAGGAUAAAGACUCAGUCAAGACUGCCACGUGGGCGCUACGUCAGCCAAAACCAUCUCCAAAACCACCAAGAGACAUUGUUUGCACCGGUUUUGAUACUUGGAAGAGUCGAUAUACCUAGUUUUGUGGUUGGAGGUUGUGAAUCAUACUCGGACGAUAGUUAAGGGAGUCCAAGUAUACUUUUUCCUUACCUAGCGUCUCGAUUCCAGCCCAACUAGCGCCACUCCCACCUGGGCCACCACCCACAUCACUCGUCGCCGUUCCUAAACCCAAGAGAACUCCUCCCCUCACGCCAAUGCCGGCCUCGUCCGCGCCGCCGCCGGGAGAGAGAGUGACCGAGGCGGCGGCAGGAGCAGCCCGUGCGAGAGAGUGAGAGGGAGGAAGGGACCAUGCGAGGAGGCAGUAAAGCGCGGGCGCACGCAGCGCCGCCACUUCAAGCAGGGGCGCGAGGUCCUCUGGAAGCACAAUCCCCCAGCGCCCUCCAGCCGCUUUUGCUUCCAAUUUCCCUACCAAAGCACGGUAAUCCUGCAAUUGUAUCUCCUUGAAUCCCCUAUUCUGCUUGACACACGCUAAACGUUUGGCUGCGUGUCGGAUCCAUGCACAAUCUGUGGGGUCGUUUUUGAAAAACAUCCCUACAAACGGUGGCAGAUCUUUAAAUUUUUUUGAAGCCUAGACAAGAUUAAUAUUAUCGCUGAUAAUUUAGAUUUUAAAGCUAGUGUCAUCUUGAACAUCGGUGCUAGUAGGUUGUAUUGCUUUGGCCUUUAUAACUACAGCUUGAUGGUUUGGUCCUUGCUAUCUCGUUUUCUGAUAAUCUGAUUAUUCAUCUAAUUAAUCUUCAUUAGAACUUACGAGACAAAGUGAUUAUGUUUGUUUCAGCUUAAGAUUAUUAUAAUCUAGAUUAUAGAACUAGAUUACUAUAAGCUGAAUUAUAAUAAGCCGACAUAGAAUAAGCUGCUAGCUGUUUGUUUCUCUAAAUUAUUAUCUGUUUGUUAGUUGUUUGCCACCCAAUAAUCUAAGAAAAGCACCUUUAGAGUGGCUCACCAGAUUAUAGUAAUCUGGCUUAUAGAUUAUAAUAAUACUCCCUCCGUUUCACAAUGUAAGUCAUUCUAUCAUUUUCCAAAUUCAUAUUGAUAUUAAUGAAUCUAGACAUAUAUAUCUAUAUAGAUUCAUUAACAUCAAUAUGAAUGUGGGAAAUGCUAGAAUGACUUACACUGUGAAACGGAGGAAGUAUAUCAUAAUAAGCUAUCUAUUUGUUUCAGCUUACUCCUAAUAAUCCAGAUUAAAAUAAUCCUAAGCUGAAUUAAACAUGGCCUAAGUAUAUGGUUAACGAGUAAUACGCUGCAUAUGCAUUGGAGCAGUGUGUUGCUGUACGCAUGGUGCCCAGGCAAUUGCGCGUGAUGGCCGGGCGCCGGCGCCGCCGCUGCCUACAAAUUUUAACUUUCAUGUACAAAUUCAAAAAAUUAUAGAAAUGACUCCAUUUAAAUACAAACUAGUAGUAACCGAUUUUAAAGGGUUAAAUUUCUAGCUCCGCCACUAGCUGCGUCAUCAUGGUUGGCGGUGGUGGUGGCGGCCAUUCAUGCAUUUAGGCUUCAGCUAUUUGCCUUCACGACAUCGUGUAUAGAAGUAGCGCACCUGGGCACGUUCAAUACUCAGCAUAUCCUACUCUGUUUUAGGCUGUGUUCAGGAGUAGGGGUUUCCUAGCACGCAAAAUAAAAUUCGUAUUAUUGCAUGAUUAAUUAAGUGCUAACUAACUAUUUUUUUUAAAAAAAUAGAUUAAUAUGAUUUUUUAAAACAUCUUUCAUAUAGAAAAUUUUUUAUAAAUCACACCGUUUAGCAGUUUGAAAAAUAUACAUGCGGAAAACGAGAGAUGUGGGUUGAAAAAACAGGGAGAAGAACACAGCCUGAGGGGACUAACGAAUUGUUGACACAUUGUACAUUUCAAUGCUCUUGCCUGAGGGGAGCAGUACGGCAAAAAAAAUGUACUACCUGCAUGGCUGCAUCUAAAUAUAGUUAAGUGCGGAUGUGAGUUUUCUUAUUUAACAUUUGACAUACGUCUUAUUUAAAAAAAAUUAUAAAAAAAUAGUCACACAUAAAGUAUUAUUCAUGUUUUAUCAUCUAAUAACAAUAAAAAUACUAAUCACAAUUUUUUUAAAUAAGAAUAACAGUCAAAUAUUAAAUACGGAAACUUACAACUGUAUUUAUAUCGGGACGGUGUGUUACGUUCCAACAUCAAUUUUGACAGAUCAAGCCAACCUCAAGUAAGCACCUCAAGUAAGCACAAGCAAAACCAGCAUCAAACCACUGAAAUAUUCAUAUACAAAACAGAGAGAAAGAAGAGUUUAGACAAGGAAUAGCAGGAGAUUGGGUUGGUAGAAAGGAGAUCAGGAAAUCAGAGGAAAUAGAGUAGGAUUUGGGAAGAAGCAAGAGGGAGGGAACAGCCAGGCAAUAGGCUUCAGUUCUUAUAUUCUUUGAUCCCCUUCCCAUUGUGCCUGGUUCCUUUUUGUAGUAAUUACUUGAUGUAGCAUAUUGGGCCUAACAGGCCACAAUCCACCAUGGAUGUCUAGCCCAACGCGAGUCCGUGACACGGAGAGAGUACCAGAUUUGAUCUUGAAAUCCUUUUUGUUCUGUAGUGGUAGAAAUUAAAGAGGAAUUUGAAGGUUGCUUCAUUCGCGUGCAUGGCUGCCCAAACAACCCGUCUUGUCACUCAGGAGGAAAAACAACCAUAGAAGCAUCCGUUUCUCUUUCUUUGGAAUGCUAUUAUCCCUCCGUCCCACGAAAAAGAUCUAGGACUGGAUGUGAUAUAUCAUAGUACUACGAAUCUAUUACAUCCAGUAUUAGGUUGAUUUUUAUGAGACGGACGGAGUAUGUGGCAAGUAAGCAGUUAAAAAAGAGCAAGAAGUUGGCACAACAAUUACCGACUGGAUAAACUUGUAAAAGAUAUGUAGGCAUGGUUAUAAAUAAUUUAACUCUGAAAUUCUAAGCACAGACUAUGUUAUUCCACCCUUCACAUUUUCUGGCCGUUUUCAGUUCAGAACUUCAGAUACUAGACCAAAACAACCAAUACAAUUAUAUAAACUAUACAAUCUACAAUUCAUUCUACCAAUGCAAAUACUUACCUAGUAGUCUUCGGUCAGAUUCCUGCGUUUUGGGGAUUUUUCAAUUUUUUUUGACCCCUCCAGUGUUCGCCACGUGUUAAACUGUUUUGCUUCCAAGAACAAGAUAUUCGUUUAUGAUCAAUGCAUUAAUAACUAUAAUAGACUAGAGAAAAAUGUGCAUACAUACAUAGACAAAUCAUUGUUAGGCUUCUUAUCUUGUUAAUUUCCUUUUAUUAUUGAUCCUCUUUUCCGUUCAAAGGUAUAACUUAGAAUUAUUUAAGUUUCUUUCCUUCCUUGUGGUGAGUUUUCUAUCUACCUCAUGAGCCAAUGAUUUCUGAAAUUGCGAUGUUGCCUAUCCAAUUAAAGAUAUAGUGAUAUCUAUAAAUGUCCCCAAGGUGUUAUCAAAGCGUUUAAAAAACCAUAGCCUAUAGUUCUUUAGAAAAAUGAUAGGAUGCAUUAUUUAAUUGUUUUGUUAAUACACAAAGAAUCAAUGAGAAAUUAGUUGUUCAUCAAUAGGAGAAGCAUAUUAUCUAAAAGAAAUAAAUAUAGAAAAGCCAUAAUUCAUCUUUGUAGCUAGAGAGAGCGGUUAAUUAUUGAUAAGACUAAAAGUUCUUUUAUUAGAGAAACUUCACCAAUUUUUUUUCAUACAACAAAUAAUUUUGCACACAUUCUAUUCACUCUUAUACUCAUGUAAAGAAUUACUCAUUUGUUCCAACACAAAUAUGCAAUCCCUUCUAUUACCUUUGGCAAGAAUUUCUUAAAUUUGACACUCUAUUGUAUAACUUUCCUUUUCAUCUACAAGAGAGAUGAAUGAUCUGUCUUAAAGUUAAUACAUGUUUUGAAUCCCAAUCUACCAAGAGUAGUGAUACCAGGAGGAUAUUCUAACAGAUACAAUUACCUUGCCUUCACAAGAUCUCAACUUUACACAAAUAAUUGACAUAGAUGAGUAAGAGUUCCUUGGCUCUACAAGGAAUCUAUGAUAAAUCACAAUAGGAUUGGACAUAAGCUAUACCAGAGAGAGUACUGCUUAACGCCCUGAUUCCAAACCCUUGACAACUUUCCUUUCAAUGCUAAAAUUUCCUGUACUCUCAACCUCUGAGAUGACCACACAUGAUGACUCACCAAGCAAGCUCUCCAAUUCUUCUGGGUUAUCGUGUGUCCAUGGAUGCUCGAUGACUUUCCUCAGCCUAUCAAGCUUAUCUCUUACUUCCUUCAUUGAUGGCCUAUCUACACCGGACAUCUCCAAGCAUUGUCUUGCUAACUCGGCAAUCUCUUCAAGAAACCCCAUAUUCUCAUUAUUCUUGAUUUGAUCAUCCAAUAGAUCACUGAGCUUAUUCUCCUUCAUUGCAGAGAGAAACCUCAUAGACAGGCAUUUCUCAUUUUCAAGCGCAUCAAGAUUGAACGGCUUCUUGCGUGUAAGAAGUUCUAGAAGAACAACUCCAAAGCUAUAUACAUCACUCUUAUCUGUUAAUUGGCACGUUUGCAUGUACUCUGGGUCAAGGUAUCCACAAGUUCCUUGAACUAGUGUGACAAAUUGCGUCUCAUCUGUUGGAGCUAGGAUAGAUGCACCAAAAUCUGAAACUUUUGCUGAGAGGUUGCUAUCAAGGAGGAUGUUCGACGACUUGACGUCACCAUGGAGGAUUGGUGGGGAAGCACAAGAGUGGAGGUAGGCAAGUGCCUCAGCAGACUCAUGGGCAAUCCGUAGGCGAGUAACCAGAGGGAUGUGCCAACCAUUAUAGUUUCCAUGGAUGAGAUGGUAAAGUGUGUCAUUUGGGAUGAAUUCAUAGACCAAUAUAGGGACCUCCACUUCAAGGCAACAACCUAAUAGUUUAACAAUGUUUUUGUGGUUGAUUUGGGAUAAAAUUAGCAUUUCUUUGCCAAACUCUUUUUUCUUUUGCUCAUCAAUUGUCAUGCAUCUUUUUACUGCUACUUCCAAGUUGUCCUUAAGAUGUCCCUUGUAAACAAUUCCAUUGCCUCCUUGGCCUAGAACUUGAUGUUCAUCAAAUUUGUUUGUCGCCUGUUGCAAUUCUUCUUCCGAGAAGAUUUUGAAUGCAAGACCUUGUUUAGAUUUCAUCUCUUCAUAUAGUAGCAGGCCACCAUGCCGUCGAAAGUAUUGAUUUUUGAUGUGCUGUAGCUUUCUUCUAUCAUGAAUUAAGCAUGCACAAGUUAUGGUGAUCACUAGGAUGACAAGUCCAACACUUGUGCCUACACAAUCAUAAAAGCUUGUGUGAAUGACUAGUAAGGCCAGUCCCAACCCAAUGACUAGAAUGGUGUCUAUAGCAUUAAAUAAGCUACCACCUAGGAUGAAAGAUGAUGUGGCAAGUGAAUAAAUGAGGAAAGAAAAGGAAACCAGGUCUUGCAUGAGACAUGCAUGGUUUUUACACAACAUCCAAGACAUCAUAUGAGAUAAGUAGCAUUAAAUCUAAGUAUGAAACAAUGGUGUUUGCAUUGAAAGAGCAGUGUCUUGUACUAGUUUUUUUUAUGAUGUGGAGUUUAUGGAAACUAUGUCUAGUGUGUUGGGUUGGGAUUGGCCUAAGAUAUGGAAUUAUGGAAGAUCCAUGAGCUAGCCAUGUGUAAUGACUAGUAAGGCAUGCAAAAUUUAUAUAUUAACAAUUCUCAUAUUGGUGUGCACAAAUGGUUGGCGUUAUCAUUAGUUCUAGUGAUUACGGAAGAGGGGAACCAACCUACUAUAGGAAGUGCAAGAAAACCGGACUUCCGAUUUGGUAUGCAAGUGCCAUUCUCCAUAUAGUUUCCUUGGUGGCAUGAGCAAGUGAAACUCCCCAUUGUAUUAUUGCAUAUCCCCGGACAAGGAUAAGUAACAUUGUCGAGGCACUCAUUGAUAUCUGAAAUCAAGCAACCAUUGCAAGUUUGAUUGAAAUUGUCAUAUCAAGGAAGAAGAAUAACGAAAAAGUAACUAUGGUACCUUCACAACCAUCUUUAAUAUACGGGUUUCCUUCAUAUCCAUGUGAACAAUUACAACGGUAACCUCCACUCGGAUCAUCAUUGCAGAUGCUGUUUGUACUAACACAAGCGUAGGAAGUGGUUUUGCUUUUAGCCUUCUCACAUGUAUCCAAUGUUAUGACCCAGUCCAACACAACUGGAACUCCCUCUUUGUACGUGUCGUUGAAUACCGUGGAGUUGAGGUAAGUGGUGCUAAAUUGGAAGGCCUUAUCCUCCAUCACCGCCAUGUAGCUGCAAGGGCUGCUCCUCCAUAUUUUGCUAUCAUUGUAAUCUUCGUCAAAAUAACCAUCAUAACUAUAUAUGUGUCCUGGAACAUCCAUCUGGCAACAGCCACCGCCGGAGCAAGAUCCAUUCACAGGUGUUGAACCAUUACAUGUCGAGAAGCAACCAAUUACGUACUGUGGAAUUUGCAUAUGUAUUAUUAGACCAAGAAGUAGUGAACUCUGCCACUGUUUUCUUUAUUAAAAAAAGAAUAAACACUUAUAUGGUAGUGUGUAUCUGUUUUUUUUUCUUGUUGUGAAAACAUACUACUUUGACGAUCUUUUUUUGGAGGGAGCAAUAUUGACAAUCUUGAUGGUUGAAUGCGCAUUGGCAACCUCACUAGUUGCACAUAGUGACUCAUAUCACUACUAUAGAGUCGGUCAUCUAUGCACGGAAAUGGUUUGUUUGGUCCCUUGACGUGCAGGUGACUUGAGGCGACGUUUGGUCAAUGGACAAGACUAAAUUAAGCUAGAGAAGCAUAUUUUAUUUAUUAUAAAAGCAGCAUGCUUUUUUUUAAUAUUAAAAAAUGGCAAUGAAAUCAUUAUGGUGGGUCUAGUUAGGUUUUGGAGGGGGGUUGAUCUUCUUCCUCCCCUUCUCUCCUCCCCAUAGGGAUCCAACAGGGUGGGAAAUUGGGGCGGGGGGGGGGGGGGGCUUAAUCCACAUUAGAUUUGCCCCGGGCAGCGAGACACAUGUGGUAUGCACCGCCACGGACACAAACACAACGUCCCCUGAAUUAGCUGGGGAACAUGCGCAGAAGAAAAAAAAUACUAGAUGGCUACACCUUCUAGGAUUUGAGCAAGAAUACCUUACUAUGAUUUUUACCGGAAUUGAUAAUUAAAUUAAAAAUGUUCGACAAUUUUUCAACCAAAACCUUCAGAUUUAUGAUUGUCAGAUCACCUUGAUAUUCAUGCGGAGAGGGGAAAAAAAAUCUGUGCAAUACGUACAAGUUGAACAUGCAACAUGUGAGGUGGAUGUCGUGCUGCUAGCCAACCGGUUGCAUGAACGUUUUAUUCAACUACAUAUAAGUUACACUAUAAUCAUAUUAUAAUUACAAUAUAAUCUCAAAUUAUACUACAUUAUAUUUAAAAGUCUUUUAUUAAAAAAACUGUAGUGUAUACUGUACAGUAGCUCCUAAUUUUUAUUGGACCAUAACUAAUAUUUAUACUGAUGUAUAUUAUGGGGCAGGGUCCCUAAAUUAUUUUUUUUAGGCUUAAGGCUGCCUCUCCGCUUGCGCCCUGUAGCGCCCGUUCCGUCGUGGCGCCUAGCGGGAAAACUAUCUCUUAAAAAUCCUAUUUGCGAAAUCCGUUUCUUUGCUUGUUGUCUAGUGUCCGUGCCAUCUCAGAUCUCAAAUCCCCGAUCUAUCGUCAAGUUCAAUCCCGAAUCCAAAUCCUUCCCAAAUCAAAUUCCUCCGCAAAAGUCUAUUUUGCCUCCCUCGGGUUCGAUGGGCCGAAUCCCUCUAGGCCCAUCUCCCCCUCCCUCCCCGGCUCUCUCUCUCUCUCUCUCUGCCCGCUCUGCCGUGAGCCGCGCCGAGCCCUCCCUCCCGCUCUCGCUGCCGUUCCCGCCGAUGCCGCCCAAAUCGCCGCGCCGCCCGCGCGCGCGCGCGCCUUGGUGGCCGACCGGCCAGUCGCCGCCGCCGUCAGCGCCUGCCGCGCCUGCCCCGCGUCUGCCGCCCGUGUCGCCGCUCCACUCCAAACCGCCCCGCCGUCAUCGCCGUCGUCAUCGACUCGGCCCCGCCUCUCCCCGCGCGUGCCUCCAAGGGACGGAGGCAGAGCUCCCCCCCUCUGCCGCGUCGCCCCCUCUCCCUCCUCCUUUUUCCCAAAGUGGCAAGGAGGCAAGGGUUCUCUCCCCCUUUUUCCCUUUUCCCUCCCGCCGGCGUCAUCCUUCCCCCCCCCCCCCCCCCCCGUCGCCGCUUUGGCCGCGACCGCCAAGCGCGAGCUCCCUCCCUUGACCGCCCAAGGUCGGUUUCCAAACCGACAUCGCCGCCCUAUAAACAAAAGCGCCUCCCUUCCUCUUUCCCCUCCCAAUCUUCCCCGUUUCUCGCCCGCGCCAUUGCUGUCUCUCCCGCCGGCCGCCGCCGUCGCGUGUGCUGGAGGAGCCGGUGCGCGUUAGGACGAGGAAGGGGACUCCGGGCGCUCGUCUUCUUCCUCUCCCCCGGCCCGAGGCCGGAGAGAUCGCUCCCGUGCCGUCGGCCCAUCGUCACUGCGCCCCGUCCGCACGGUAGUGAAUCUCCCCGUUCUCCCUCCUCAAUCCAUCUCUUCCCCUUAGUUUUCGGUAGUAGCAUGUGUAGCCUCCCCGUAGCUAGCCGGCGCCGCCCCGACUGCUGCCGUCGCUCGCCGUGUGCUCACCGCCCGAGCUCAGAAGCGCCACUCGUCGCCGGCCUCCCUCGAUGCGAUUCCUCCUAAUCCGGCGCAAGGGGUGGGUUCCCGUAGCCGCGUAGAUGCUCUCGCCGCCGGGAAUCGGCCCCUCGUGACCUCAUCGCCGUUUCCCCCUUCUCCCGCCGCCGGUUGCCGCCGCCGCAAUCCGCCGCCGUCGAGCAUCCCCCGGCGAAUCCGAGCCAUUGGCUCGUCUCCCCUCGUCCUGUGCAACAUCCCGGUGUGCUCGCCUUCGCCUGUAUCGCCAUGGUUCGCUCCGCCGCUCGCCGCUGUCGUCCGCCGUCCGUUCCGGCCGGCGUCGUCGUCUACCUCCCGCCGGCUCGCGUGGCAGCCACGUAGGCGCCACGUCGGCGCCACCUCGGCCGCGACCGGGUCAAGCAGACCCCGGUCCGCCGCUUCCCUCCGCCCCUCGCGCGCGCGGUCCACCGCGAGCCGUGAGGCUGCGCGUGGGCCCGUCGCACCACGUCCUCCGCGAAACGCGCGCAUGCGCCGCGCCUCCCUCCCCAAACCCUAGCACGCCCCGCGUGCACCUCGCUCACGGUGAGCCGAGUCGCUGACAAGCGGGUCCCACCCGGGACCACGCGGGAUGGACCCGGCCCACCGGCUCUCUCUCUCCCCUCCCCGCCCGCGCGCGCGCCUUGGGCCGCCUUCUUGGGCCGGCCGGCCCAUUAAGCUCGGCCGAGCCGCCCCUUUCUCUCGGGCCGCGCCCUAGCCGCCCGAGGGAAGUCUAAUUUCCCUCCCUCCUUCUUUUCUUUUUCAAAAAGGAUUUAAAUAAAUCCUUUUCCUUUAGACCAAAAAUCCAAUAAUCUUAGAAAUUCAAUAUCUUCCCAACCGUAAGUCCGUUUGACUCCGUUCAACUUCCAAAAUUCCUCAAAUCUCGAGAUCUAUCGAAUGGCACGCUUAGAGGUCAAUAAUAGGGCUUUAUUUUUGCCGUUUGCUGAGCUGUCCCGUUUCGCGUGUAGUUUCGGAGCCCGAAGACCCGCAGUGCGAGGAUUUCGAGGAUCAAGCUCAAGAUCUCGAGCGAGGCAAGCCACCUUUGAACAUCUUGAGCCUAUAUUUGAACUUAAUUAUGUUGCUUGAAAAAUAUUAUGCAUUGAUAGGAUCGCACUUAAUCUGCUUGUCCCGUCUGCAAGGCAGAUUGGCGGACCUACCUAAUUUGUUGCAUUUGACCAUUCCAUUGUAAUUGUUAUACCAUGUUCCCUUGUACCCACCUAGUUGCGCCUCGGUAAUCGUGCACUCUGCACGGGUAUCGACGGUCGCCUUCAAACUUAAAAUCUGAGAAACAUCUUGGGUAAAACUUGCGUUUUACAAAAGACUUGGAAAAUCCGACACCUGGGUCGGUGCUUGCGAACUAAAUGAAUUUCCAAAACCGCGGACCGGGGAACGUACCGGGUGUACGGUUUCCCGCUCUUGCACCUAAGGACUGUUUCCUUGGAAUUUCAUCCGAACAUAAGACAAGUACGACCACAUGGGUGGAAUGGGACACCCCUGGCUGAGUAACUAGCUUAUCGGGAGAGCCAUGAUGCUAAGAGACAUGUGGAUUCGCCGGGGUGGUGUCGGGGAGGACCCCUGGGCUUCCUGGCACAAUAUGGUCUGGGACCUAAUCUGGUGUUGGUCUGGGACCCUUCUCGUUGGCAUAUGGUGAACCUGUGUCGGCUUUCGAAAUGCCUUGUCAUGAAAGCCUUAAGGUCUCUAGUCGUGGCCGUUCUGCACGGGCUGGAUGAUCCGGGUUAGUAAUGUCGUGUGGGUAAAGUGUACCCCCUCUGCAGAGGUUAUUAAAACUGUUCGAACAGCCGUGCCCACGGUCAUGGGCGGAUGUGAGGUGAUUCCUAGCGUAGUUUUGUUUGACUACUGCCUUAUGAAAUUUGCUGUUGUGGGAUGGGUUUGAUGUUUGGAAAAUCUGCGGCUGAUGGGAUCAGCCAGGCCCGGGUGGCCGUUUGAAAGCUGUUGGCCGGGUGCCAAUCUUGAUCAAUUCAAAAGACUGAUACAUUGCACAUACUCCGACCGGACGAGACGCACUGUCUCAUCCGUGUCGUUUGAGAAGCACUCACUUAGUUGUUUCAGAAAAGAGUUCAAAUAAAAUCAAUUGCAAAAACAACAGCCUUUCUUUGAAGCCUACAUUAAACACUUAUUUCCCAUGGCUUGCUGAGUACUCCCGUACUCACCCUUGCUCUAUAUAAAUAAUCCCCCCUAGUUGCUGAAGAAGAUGAAGCGGAUCCCGCUGACGAGGAGUUCUUCCAGGAGCAAGCCGGCUACGAUGAGUUUUAGGGUUUCGGCCUAGUUUCCAAGUCGCGCCUGUGAUGUUUGGUCCAAGUCUUGGCUUCCGCUUCCCUUUUGUAAUGCAGUUGUGAGCUCGGGAUCUGUCCGCAGCCCAACAUGACUAUACUCCUACUCUAUAAUAAAGAGACCUCUGUUGCUGUGAUAUUCUGUCUUCCUGUGAUACCAGCACUGUUUCCUGGGACUGGUAUCGAUUAACAGGUUAAUUUGGAGCGUCACGGGCUAGUUCCGGUCGGGACUAGUUCGGGGCGUGACACGCCCUUACCCCCUACCCUGGCUGGGUCGCACCUUGGAUGAGAAAAAAGGAGCAUUUGUAUAGGCUGGUUUACUUUCAGACUACAUUUCUUGAGAAGUGUUCAAGCUUGUACUAAGUAUGAGAUCUUGUUAACUUUUCUUUGAAAUGUUGUGCAUGGAAAGGUGUGAGUUGUACGUGUUGAGUUAAUUUGCUUCUUUAUUUGUAAAUUAUGUGUUCUAUUGUCUUUGUGAUAUGGUUUUUCUUUUGAUUUAUAUGCUGAGUUUUUGUGGUGAGAAGAAGGAUGAAUAGAUGAAGCUUUAUGCUCCUUUUGAAUCCAUCUCCCUCUUGAGCGCAAAAGAUGUUCUUGUUGAUUUGCCAGUUUUUCUUUUCUUCAUGGAAAUAUUUGGAGGGCCUUGGUCAGUGACUUCUACAAAGUAUGGGAUUUUGCUUAUGGAGAAACAACACAGCAUUAACGGAAGGAAUCCAAUAUACCAUCAUUAAUUUGGAAGCUGACGGGCACUGGAUCAAUAGCACAGUGCGCAGUUAGCUUUUUUUUUUUUUUGAGAAUUAGCAGUUAGCAUAUCAAGCGCAAUUUGCUAGCCAAAUACAAUCAGCUGGGGCAAGGCAAAUCUGGGAACCCUCCAAAUGCAAGUUAUUCUCUUGGUUACUCCUUCUGAACAGAAUUUAGACCUCUGAUAGACUACAAAUCAGAGGGUGGCUAGCUGAAUAACUAUUUCUACCAAUUGUGUUUUAGAAGCCUUGAGACAACACAUUUUCGAGGAUUGUCAGAUGUUCAAAUCCAUAUGGGAGGCCAUUACGCGAAUUAAGGACUAGUUAAAAUUGGGUGGCAGCAUAUUACAGUCCACUUGAUUGCUAGGUUGGUGGAACAAAAACGCAACACAACAUGACAAACACAAAUCAAAGGGGAUGAGAUUCCCUAUUACUUUGGGUGGCGUGGGUGGCGUGGAUAGCAUAGUGUGAGCGGAAAUACGGAAUAGACGAGUCUUAAAAAGUAAAGAGAUGAUCAAAACGUGUAGAUAGUGACAAGAAUCUUGGGAGAAACCGGUUUUUGGCAAAAUCAUAUCGGAUCACUGCUGCCCAUCCAAAAACUUCCCUCCUAUAUAUACUUCUUCUAUCUCAUAAGUACUCCCUCCAUUUUAUAUUAUAAGUCGUUUGACUUUUUCUAAAGUUAAAGUUAUUUAGAUUUGAUCAAGUUUUUUAAAAAAAUUAGCAACAUUUAUAACAUAUAACACCAAAUUAGUUUCAUUAAAUUUAACAUUGAAUAUAUUUUGAUAAUAUUUUUGUUUUGUAUUAAAAAUGUUAAAAUAUUUUUCUAUAAAUUUGGUUAAAUUUAAAGUAGUUUGACUAAGAAAAAAAAUUAAACGGCUUAUAAUAUAAAACGGAUAGAGUAUGUACAUUUUGCAUGUGGCUGGGAGAAAAAAAAAGAAUACACUUGCCAAGUGAAAUUCUAGAUAAACGACGGUAUUGGCCUUGCGACAGUUUUCGGGAAUUCUUUUCCCCCCUAGUCCCCGGCCGAUUCCCUGUUUGUAUACUUAACAUGGUGUGCUUAUUAAAAUGCCUCUAAAUGAUAAGCUUAAGAGAUAUAUAUACUUACAGCGUUGCUCUCCAUAUAAGCCAUAGUUUGACAUCCGAUGACGAUGAUCUUGUUUUCGGUCGAUAGCCAGAAAGGUGAAUCACCGAAUUCUGCCGUUGCGUUGCUGUCGUACAGGAUAUGGCCUGUCACGUGGUCAUAACACUGACUGGAUAUGCCCAACUUCAUCCAUGCCUUGCCCUCCUGCACCGAAAUCUUGGUAACCUCGUUAUUGUUGUAGAAAGGCUUCUUGGUGCCAUUCACGUCCAAGCAGUCGAGAUCAAACGGAUACUUCGUCUGCAUCGCGCAGUGCUUGCCGAUGCCGAACGGGAACGGGAUCUCGACGUCGCCACACCUCUCCGGGCAACCGGGGCGUUGCCCUGCCGGUAUAUCGGCCGUUGCUGCCGCCACCCAGACAGCCGACAGACAGACACAAAAAAGGCUGGCAAGAACUGCCCGUGUAUACUGCAACUUCAUCUUUGUUGGUUGUGCCCGUUGUUUGCGAGGUCAGCGCUCCAGCUAGCCUAUAUAUAUAGAGAAUAUAUAGAGAGAUAGCCUACAGUGGAGUUCUCAAAAAAAAAAAAGAGAGAGAUAUUCUACAGCGCAGGUAUCGCGUAUAGUACGUAAUUUUGUUGACGUGGGCGGCUGAAUACCGUAAAGUUUUCUCUAUUUUUUUUAGGGAGGGGGAUGUGUGUACGAUGAAGAAGCAUUAUUAUUAUUUUAUACAGUAAAUGCAACUAGCAGAAAUAGUAGUAGUAAUCAAAUACAGUACAUAUUCACACAUACUUGUAUGCAGGACUUCUUUUUAAUUUAAAGCAAGUUGCAAGAGCAUUGCAGUACUCCAUAACCGUCCCUUACCUUGGCUAACGAACACAGGCACACACGGACACACCCUUAGAAAUAGGAGGAGCUAGCACUAGAGGAGGAGGUGAACGCCGUCACCGACGAAUGUUUCAUGUGAGCAAUUAGAUUAGCCUGAUCCCUUCGUUGUCAUCAUCUGCACCCUUGAUGAGUUGUGCAGCCAGAUCUAGGUGAAGAGCCCGAAAUAGGGAGAAGACUUUUUGUGUGCAUAGGGUAUGUUCCUGUCUAAAUGAGACUUUAAAUUUUAUUACGUACUCCCUAUGCUUCAUAUUAUAAGUCGUUAAUUUUUUUUUCUUAUUUAAACUUUUUUAAGUUUAAUCAAGUUUAUAAAAAAUAUAUUAACAUUUUAAUACAUAACAAACAUAUUAUCAAAAUAUAUUCAAUGUUAAAUCUAACGAAACUAAUUUGAUAUCGUAGAUAUUAUUAUUUUUUUAUACAAAUUUAGUCAAACCUAGAGAGUUUUGACUUAAACCCGUAUGGGCAUAUAUACCAUGUUAUACUUGCAUGUGUAAGGUCAACGUUUAAACGAUAUACUUAAAAAAGUGAAAGGAAAAAAAAAAGAGAGAGAGAAAACAAACAGUAAUAAGGUUGACGGCACCUUCUGUUUGUUUUUUACUUUCUUUUUCUAUUUUUUAAUAUGGUAUCUGUAAGGGUAUAAUAGGCAUUUAAAUGUUGACUUUUCUUGCAAGGAUGACACAGCAUAUGUUGAGCAUACGUUGAACUGUAUGACACAGCAUAUAUUAUCUAAUACGGAAUGCUAGAAAUCAAGGAUCGUUUUCGCUAUGUACCCUUAUUAAAUCAUAUAUAAAGCUUACAUAACUGACGCCCCAGUAAAAUUCAACUUUAUUAUUUUAUAAUUUUAAAUUAUUAAGUCGUGAAAAUAUUAUAUUUGAGAGUGAUAUUUAUUAAUUUCUAAUUCUAUAAAUCCACGUAUUCUGUAAUGGAAUAUCUCCGCUCUAGAUUUGAUGGAUGACGGGUAUAAUUUUAUCUUUUUUAAUUAACACAAGAAUAAUAUUUUUAGCUUGUCUCUUACUGAUUUUGCUACUUCUAGCUUGAUUAGUGUGAGGGUUGUACGAGAUCCUUUGCUAAUUAAUAUAAGGAAAUAGAUGUUACCGUUGGGAUAGGCUGACUUUGACCAAUAAAAUGCUAAGUACUUGUAUAUGGCCCUAUGGGAAAAAUAUGUAUCGUAAACCUAAAAAUUUAAAAAUGGAUGUGUCUGAUAUUUGUUUACAUCACCAUUAGUAAAGUUUUACUCAAGAUAACGUGGAUAAUUCAUAAACAAGUUCAUUUUUUAUCCGAUGAUAGUUAAUUUACAUAUUGAUAUUACAUAUGUUAUGUGAUUUGCAGUACUUUAUUUUCACAUGUACCUCCUCACGUUUUUAAUUAACUUCGUUUGACAAAGAGCCUUUGUGUUAGUCAAAAGUGUACUCCAGUAGGCCCUAAAUGCGAUGGCGUGACUGGGUCAUGGUUGCACGCUCCUGGGAUUAUAUAGUUUCUAAGGUCCUAUUUCAGCUUAAAAUUAUUAUAAUCUAGAUUAUUAAAUCAGAUUACUAUAACCUGGAUUAUAAUAAGCCAACAUAAAAUAAGCUAAGCUGUUAGCUGUUUAAUUCUCUGUAUUAUUAGCUGUUAGACACCCAAUAAUCUAGGGCCUGUUCACUUUGAUGCAAAAAAAAAACCUUACCAAAAUUUUGGUAACUUGCCAAAAUUUUGGCAGGAUUUCUUAUAUAGUUACCAAAAUUCGGCAGCAAACUAAAUGUAGCCACUUUUUUGGCAACUUUACCAAAAUUUGGUAAGGUUGAAAAUGGUAUAAAAAUGAACAGGCCCCUAGAAAAAGCACCUUUAGAGUGGAUUAUUAUAGUAAUCUGGCUUAUAGAUUAUAAUGAUUUAUCAUAAUUAGCUAUCUGUUUAUUUCAGCUUACUCCUAAUAAUUCAGAUUAUCAUAAUCUUAAACUGAAUCAAACAAGACCUUAACAAAUGAUAGGGGCUCGCAAGUUCGCAGCGGUCUCGGCCUUCUCCAAUAUUCAUAGGGCUAGUGGCAGGUGUACGGUUAAUGAAGAUUGCAUGAAGCUGAUCCAGUGGUUGCGGUUAGGGGUGAAAACGGUCACAGAAAUUUCUGGUCGACUAAAUAUCGUUUUCGUAUUUGUAUAAGGGGUACCGUUUUCGAUCGUACCAUUUUUGGCUAUUUAUGAAUUUUGAUUUUACUAAUUUCUUUCUGUAUCGUAUUAAUGUUGAUACUUACCAGUUUAAAUGAUAAAUAUGAUCAAUUAUUAGUCGAUCGAGUGUCAUUUACUGAUUCUGACCGUUUUCACCCUAGUUGCGGUAAUUAAAUGCGCCAUAUGUUGUCACCUCUGCGUAAUCUGUAUCAACUUCGGAGUACUGCUCGAUCGACAUGGUCAAAAUGAAAAACGCGGCCGGUACAUGAAAUUCUCGGCGUCCUGGCUCGGCUGCGUCGUGCAGAAUUAGUUUUUCCACUACAAGGAGUAGACUUUUGCAUUUCGGAGAUACUGCUGAAAAGUAAAGUGAUACAUGUAAAAAGAUUCUUACAAUUUUUUUUUACAAAAUACCUGAUAUGAAUGCCACAUGGUGAUAUAUCUUUGAUUUUCCAUGACUAUCAACCAAUUAAAUAAUUAAACAGUUUUAUAAUACGUUUGUGUAUUAGAAUUUUUUACAUGCAUACCUGAAAAAUGUUGCAUUCUUACCGGCUCAUCCAAAAUAAGUUUGAGGCAAUUUAAGAUGGGUCACACGAUGGGCUGCGGGGAUGAGUACGGAGUACGGUUGGAUACAACGCAUCCCCUAACUUACGAAACUAGUGCGCACGAGGUCCUAAGGCGGUUUGGAUGGUGGUUUUGGCUUAUAUGACACCUACGUGGCUAGUUAGAGUAGAUCUUCAUCCCACGUGGCGCUUGCAUGGCAUUAUAGGCAGAAUUUUUUAAUAAAUAAACAAGGGGAUCCAUAUAUUAGUCAUAAGGGAAAAAAAGAUAGCCCCACAUGUCAGCGGGUUGUCGGUUAAAAAAAAUAUGUGGACCCACAUGUCACCAACUCUCUUCUCUAUAUUCCUCUUCUCUAUCCCCCAUCUUAUCUCCCUCUAAAGGACGGGAGGUCGUAGACUGGUCGACGGACCUCUGUCUCAGCCUCUCGGAGCUCCGGAGGUCGACAGGCCAGCGAUGGA